UCCGAGCUUUUUUGGAGGCCGAAGAACAAACGUGUUCGACCCGUUCUCGCUUGACGUAUGGGAUCCGUUCGAAGGAUCAGGUUUGGCAAACGCACCCGGUAGAGACGUGGCAGCGUUCACAAACGCUAAAGUGGACUGGAGGGAGACACCUGAGGCGCACGUGUUCAAGGCGGACUUGCCUGGGUUAAAGAAAGAAGAGGUGAAGGUGGAGGUUGAAGAUGGGAACGUACUUCAGAUAAGCGGAGAGAGAAGCAGCGAGAACGAAGAAAAGAGUGACAAGUGGCACCGUGUGGAGAGGUCUAGUGGUAAGUUCAUGAGGAGGUUUAGGCUGCCGGAGAAUGCGAAGAUGGAGGAAGUUAAGGCUUGUAUGGAGAAUGGUGUUUUAUCGGUUAUGGUCCCGAAAAUUCCUGAGAGGAAGCCUGAGGUCAAGUCUAUUGACAUCUCUGGCUAAAGGGAAUGGUCAAGAUGGAAAGUUGAAGACAUAAAUGUGUUGUUGUGUAAUAAAAUGAUGUGCAAGUUUUCUUUCUCCUGUAAUGAUGAACCGCGUUGUAUCAAAGUUAGUGAAUAUUAAUAAAAGAGUAGUUUGAAAUACCUUUUUAUAUAUAAGGUUUGUAGCUGAAUUAUGUAAACAUGAGUCCAUAUCUUAGUCCUAACAAGUUUUAGUCUAGUGAUAAUCACGGUAAUAUCAGCAAAACAUUUAAGGAACUAAGAAACCUUCAGGGAUGACUUUUUGUUGGACUAGGAUUGUUGUGGCUGUGAUUCGCCGAGGACAAGUGUUCGAAGGAUUGGCAUCUGGCUCUCGAGAAGUUCCCGUUUGGUCAGGAUUCUAUCGGCAGAGCAGUCAUGUUCCUGUACAUAUGAAUUGAAACAGCUUAAGAGAUCAUUUUUCUAAAGAGAGUAAAAUGGUUAUAUCCCGAAAAAACAAAGAGGAGAUUUGAACCUCUCCCGAUGAAGCCGACAUUAGAGCAAGAAGAGUGAUAGUUGCUGUUUGGUAAUCCGUCAAAGUCUUGUACGCAGAUUCAUCAAGUUUAUCCUACAAAGUUGAAUUUGACGUCAGACCAAGAUGUGAUACUAAGUGAAAAGACGCUAACUAAUUAUUUUUUUCUACGUUGUAAUACCUUCAAGUGUGAAAUAGCUGCAGCAAUAGCUCGACCAGGGGCUUGUAAAGCUUUGUUGUGAACCUGUCAAAUUUCCAACCAUAACUUGAUAUCCGGAUUUUCAACUUAGGAUGUAUUUUACGCUAACAUGGAAACAUACCUUAAUAUAAAGGAGAGAAACAACUUUAGCGAGAAGUGCAACGGGGUCUGAUUCAGUAGAAACUUGAGAUAUCAAAUCCUGCAAGCACAAGAAAAAACAUCGUCAACAGAUAAAAAGAAGUGAUGAGGUCAUUUUAAUAUGUUGAAACAACAAUAUGUUUUUGGUACACACCUUGCGGUAUGCAUGUAGGAGAGUCCUUUCCAGUUUCUUGUCAAGCUUUUUCAAGACCAAUCCACUGCAAAGAUGAAGAUGACAUUCAGUCGAUCUGGUGAAUAGUAAACAGACAUGCUUCAGAAAUAUCUUGAUAAGUAUGAACUAUAAUACCUUUCCCCUGCCAGCUCUCUGAAGGUGGUCAUGAAAAUGUCUACGCGCUGAAACACACGAAUAAUUCAAUCAAUGGAGUUUAUUUUAUUAUUCACGAGAAGGAAAGAAAAAAGUGAAACAAAAGGCUUUAAAUACUCCCUUUAACAGGGUGAUUAUCAGGAAUAGGUGGAACAGGAAUUUAAAUGUAGUGGUCAGGCCUAAGUAAUCAUAAGAUUCCAUUCUCAACCAGUAGUUCAUAUCAUUUGUUUCAAUCACCGACUCGCAUUCAGAUUCUAACAGAAUUGAAAAACUCUGGCUCUAUGUUCACUAACGAAUAUCUGACCUUCCCUUCCAAUGCCUCAAUUAGGGCAAGGGCCCUUUUCGAUAAUGGACCGUUGAGAUUUUUAGCCUGCCCAAAAGGAAAAGAAAACACGAGAACUUUGAACAUCAGCUAACAUUAUUUUAGAAUAUAAAGUGCAAUAACAAAGUACUUAGUUAAAUUUUUUGUCAUCAAAUUGACUUACAAGGGCCGUUCUUUCAGAAGAAUCAAGCAAAACCGGAUCUUGAGCUUUGGAAUCUUCAACUUCAAUACCAUUCUUCAAUUUGUUGUGGAUGUCCUGUUUUGAUAAUCAAAGCUAAAUUAGUUAAUAAAUUAAGAAAAUGACCUCAGAAAUCUCUAUUUACCUUAUUUUUGACUUACUAAGUCAUGAAGAAGUGUAUCAGCAAUUGUAGCUGCUGUUGUUCUCAGCAGAUGCCUAUGUAAAACAACCUAGGACCAGAAGAAAAUAAAUUGUUACACUAUAUUCUUUAGUUAGCAAGUGCCGCUUGCAAAAUGAACUGAAAGUACUUACUGAAGUCGAUUGGUCAUCUUCAAACAGUUCUAGCGCUUUUUCGUACAGCUGCAUAUUUAGGAAGGACUGCCAAAAGGAAAGCCAAUAAAAUGAGAAUCGCAGGAAAGACAUUGAUUGUCUAACAAAAGAUAAAGCUAUAGUUGAAGCAGUUAGUGUCAACCUCAUCAAGCUUUUUCUGAAGAUCAUCCAUCAAGCGCUUCAAUCUAUCUGCAUUUUCUGUGAAGACUUUCUUUCUUCUCUCCUUUAGUGAAUUAAUGAGCAUAGGUCUCAUAUGAUCAGCUAAAUGCUUAAGAACUGAAUCUGGGUUCUCCAAACCUGCCAGAAACCACAUAGCUUCUGUCACAUGAGCGAUCGCUAGAUUAUUUUUUAUGCAUACAUAAGAAAGACUUUCUCAGAUGUACCUUCGUCUUCAAAUUCAGGCACAGAGUCGACGAUCUUUUUCAUCACCCAUUCCUCUGGCGGAAUAACGUUAUUACCUUCUUGCGCCUUAAGGGACUCUUUCUUGCCUCCUGCUUUCGAAUCUAACUUCUGAGACGACGAUAUAUCCCUGCCUUUCUUAUGGUUUCUCUUAGAUUUAGGACGAGCUUCCUCUUCAUCAUCUGGAACAGUCUCAACGGUUGCUGUCUUCAUGCUGACAGACUUCCCUUUUUUCUUCUUUGAUCCUCUGUCCGUAUUAGCAGGUAUACUUUCUGUCGACUCUGAAGAUUUGCUUGAAGGAACUACCAAACUAGCAGUAGAAGCUUGGAUGCUGAAAGCUUCUGCCUCUUUCUCAAUUUGAUCAUAUAUGCCCUAAAAAUUAGUAAGUCAAACUAAGACAUAGUCCAUAUAGAGAAAAGCAAACGGGAGAGACAAACAGCUCGCAAGGAAACUACUAAUGAUAUUCUUUAUUUAAUAUGUUUACCUUAAUGAACCCACUGCUUAGGACAUAGGAUUCACCCAAUAUAAGUGCUUUCUCAGCCUGGAAGGGAAAAGGAAUCAGCAAUUAAUAGCAAAAGAGCAUUGACUGGUUAUCACAUUUGAUCAAAAUCCCACCUUGAGAGCUGAUUGGACGGAGGGACAAAGAAGCAACAUCUUGUUUGCAUCCUGUGACGUGAAUGAUGCAGGCAAUACAGUGAGGGAAUCGAUCCUGAACCGAGGAUCAAGAAUUUUAGUUUAAUUUUAGUUCUUUUCCGCAACCAACCGAUGAAUAAAUUAACUCGUCGUACAUAAGGACAUUUUAGAAAAAAUGGUGAGCAAACCUGUGAAAAAAAAGAGUCUACACAUUCCUUUUGAGCAAUUGCAAAUACCUGCCACCAAAAUAAAACUGCUGAGUUAAUCUGAUGAAUUUUAACUGAACAUAGGAAAUAGAAAGCAUGGAAAAUGCAUUAGAUGCCAGAAACCUAAAAAAAAAACAAGAUUUUUAAUAACAUACACUAGGAGUCCAAUGGGUGCCAGCACGAAGUGAUCCAAGCAUCUCCUCUUCCUUCAACAGUCGGUUAAAUAUAGACUGGAAAACGAAUUCUCAAUAGGGACUCCACUAGCUCCAUUCAUUUCUUGUACCAACUGUUGCAAUGGCGUCCACAAUGCCGACAAAUUGGAAGGAACAAAGAUACCCCUGGAAGCACCUCUAACCAUAGCAGUCACACGUGCUACAUAAGCAGGUGUAUAUAACUGUCCACCUUCUAGCCUUGCUUUCACCUAAGAAAGAUAAAAAAAAACAUCUACAUAUAUCAUAGCUCCUCAUUCACUUAAACAAUGUGGAGAGCUUAUUAUAGGAGAAGCAACCAUUACCAAAGUUCCAAGUCGAGGCUCUAAAACGGAUUGUACCAACUCAGAGCCAACCUGUAACUGACCAGCAAGCUCAGCCACAGAAACUUGGCUGCACUCUUGGAGCCUCUCGUUUAUUUCUUCUGCAAUCGAGUCCCAAUAUGUUUGCGAUAUUAUCUCUCCCUGGACAAGCAUUAGCCCUGGAUCACUCGAGACCACAUCUUGUGCUUGCUUCUCCACAUGAUACAAAUCAACUCCAAUCGUAUCUGCGAGAUCAAUGACAGAGACACGGCCUAAUUUACUGAUCUCGCUCGCAAAUUCAUUCCUCAAUUGCUCCUGCGAACCAAUCAAAAGACAAACAGUAUUACAGAAAACGCUAAAAGCUCGAUCAAGCAAAUUUGAAUUCAUUUUCCGAUCAACCUCCUCAUGCAACAAGCAGAUUUAUCCGUAUUUCGCACCAUUUACACAGUACAGAAUGCGAAACCUUGUGAUGAUUCUUCUGGAGUGUAUUCACAACGGCUUUUGCUUACGAAACAAGAGAGAAAGCGAAAUAGAAUCGGUACCUGAGUGAUGUAUUCCUUUCCUGUGACGGUGUGAAGAAGAUCGAAGUCUAUGACGCCAAGCUCUUGUAGCUUCUGAACCAAUUCGACGACAUUUCGAUCCGAUAAUCUGACGCUUGACUUCACCUGCUGAGCGAACUCGAACUGGCGCUGCAAUUCCAACAAUUCUUCAUCCAUCUUCCUCGAGAUAUCGCCGGAAAUUUAGAACAAAUUUGAUAUCGUCGAUGCAAGGAAUCGGUAGGAUUUUUCCGUCAGUUACUCGAGAUUUUCUCGGCAAGAUUUGAUUAGGUUCAAACUCCGGAUUAUCUUUCCCCAGAAUGUUUUACAAAUUAAACCAAUGUUCUUAAAAACCGGACCGGCCGGUUAUCGGUACAAGAUAAAAACAAACACUUUAAUUGAUUUGAAACUUAACCAUAAACCCUAAUUCUUCAGGACGUUCUUUUUCUUCUUUCCUCUGGUUAGUCCGUGGAGGACUGCAAAUCGCCGGCUCUUAUCUUCAGUUCUUCAUUUAAAUUGAGGUGAAAAUCAUUUAAUCGUCACUUAGUUUCUGUUGGUUAGUCUUCUGAUAAGGAAUCGUUUCUUCUUCUAGCUUAGUUCUGUGUAAAUUCGUGUUCUAUCUCUGCUUCUUUUCUUUUAAUGCUGUGAACUUUGAACAGAGUAGGAGAUAAAUAACGAGUAUUUUAGAACUGAAAGAAGGAGUUUUUGCUUCAAUAAACAAAAAGCCUACACAGAAUGUUGGUCAGAACGAUGUAGACCAUGAAUUUUUUUUUUGUUGAGCUUGAAACAGGUUCUUAAUCCAUCGUUUUCAGUUCUACGUUAGAGUUAGAGAAAUAUGAUCUGCUAUUCUGUUUCUGUAUCUUUUUCGGUUCUGUGUAUUUGGUUUUUACUUUCUGUUUUCUCAGUGGUAGAAUUCAGAAAUUUGGCAACUUUAAUUUAGGAAGAGAGACACUUACUAAAACUCUGUUGUGUAGAGAAGUAUUUAGAGCUAUGGAGAUCGACAGAGAAGAUGGCAGAACGCCUAAUCAACUGAGACCUCUUGCUUGUUCUCGUAACAUUCUUCAUCGUCCUCAUGGCUCUGCUAGCUGGUCGCAAGGUACUUGUUUUAGUCUCCAUCUUUCUUUUUGUUAAAUUACAUAUAAUCUAGCUUUCUACUCCUUUUCGAAUGGGAUUCAUGGAACUUUCUAAUGGGUAUGCUUCUCGUUUAUAUAUUAGGGGAUACAAAAGUCCUAGCUGCAGUUUAUGGACCUAAAGCAGGAACGAAGAAGAACGAGAACCCUGAGAAGGCUUGCUUUGAACUCAUAUGGAAACCUAAAUCCGGGCAGAUAGGUAUUAUAAAUGCAUUUAGUUUGAUCAUGCUGUUGUAGGUGGUUCUUGAUUUCAUCGGGAAAGACUUAGUGUCUCUGACUGAUUUUAACUGUGUAAUUUUAGGAAAAGCCGAAAAGGAGUAUGAGAUGAUACUAAAAAGGACAAUACAGAGUAUUUGUGUUUUGACUGUAAAUCCAAAUACCACCACAUCAGUGAUAAUCCAGGUGAGUAACCCAUCAUAAUGCCUUUGUCUUUCUAAUAGUGUCCUGUCUUGUAGAAUCUCAUUUCAUCAAUUUGAGUUGUAUGUCUGAUUCUGAUGUUUUUCAUUUUUGCUUGCCGUGUAGGUUGUACAUGAUGAUGGUUCUGUAUCCUUUUUAAGAUGCCCAGUAACCAUUUACUGAUGUUUUCUCAAGCACAUUCAAUCCGGUUGAGCAUUUAUAAAGAGUAGUGAACGCUUGUAAAUCCUAGCUCUGGAAUAAUGAAUAUGUUUUAGUGAGAUACAUAUUCAUUUAUUUUCAAUAUGGUGCAUUGAUUUAAAAGACAGCUUUGGUUUGCUUGUUCCUUAAUUCAUUUUGUGUAGCUUUUACCGUGUGCUAUAAACGCAGCAUGUGCAGCUCUUGUAGACGCAGGAAUACCUAUGAAGCAUCUCGCUGGUAGAUAUAUAUAUAUAUAGUUGCAACUUAUGCUCCUCUAAUUCACUUUCUUUGCUUCUUCUAAUUGCUUCAUCGGCGUUUUAAUUUGUCAGUUGCUAUAUGUUGUUGCCUGGCUGAUAAUGGAUAUGUCGUACUCGAUCCAAACAAGCUUGAAGAAAAGGUUUAAUUAAAAAGACCUUGUUGUCCAUUACUGUUAUCAUUUUUUCGUUUCUCGGUAUUGUUUAUACUUACUUGAACUACAAUGGACAGAAAAUGACGGCUUUCGCUUAUUUAGUCUUCCCAAAUACAACUCUCUCUGUGCUCCCGGAAGGAUCAUCAGAAGGCGAGCCUGUAGAGCAUGGGCUCAUUACAUCAGUUACCUAUGGAGUAAUGUCAGGUAUUGCUAUAACUUCUCUUUCUUAAUUAAACUCAGGAUGCUACAUUAUAUGUGGUCUGUUGUGUUCAUACAUUUCUUUUGUUUGAGUAAUGUCGUUUUAAGAAGUUUUGUUUCUCAACCGCGCCUUUGUUUUGUUUUUGUUUUUGUUUCAGUGGAUGAUUAUUUCCUGUGUGUAGAGAACGGUCGUGCUGCUACGGCUAGUCUAUCUGCAUUUAUUAGGAAGAACUUCCAACAAGGACAAAGAGAUUCAUCCAAAUCCGGUUAAAAAAGCAUGAAUGGUUUACAUGACAUUUUUGAACGGUUUAAUAUCAUCCCUGUUGUAGCUUUCUAAUCAAAAUCAAAUGCAAGAAUGUCUCGUAUGAUUAGAUGCUUAUGCACACAUGAACCUCUAAUAAUGCUGCAAAUUUAUUAUUAACUAAGGAAUUUAGUAAUGACAAUACAAACAACUCGUCGCUAAACAAUCAUACUAGAUUCUCAAAUAGCAAAUGAGCUAUUGAAUUCACUUAUCCACAUACCACACAUAUGGUGAUUAUUUGCAAGCCAUAAGACGACUUACAAUAAGUUUCAAGUUCAUUACUCUUAGGUCGAUGUUAAAAGCGUUUCAUCAGUGUUCUUGAGACGUUGAAGCAUCAGCUCGUAGAGCGCAAAACCGCCAUGGUGGCAACCUGGCAUUCUUGAUGUCAUCGUCUUCAGCUCGUCCUGAUCGAUUAUUAUAAAGAGAAGCUACAUUUACUCAAUGAUGGGAUCAUAGCAUUUUAGAGAGUAAAACAUGUAUGUUGAAGGGUUAAAAACUAAACCAUAGAGCCAGUGUGGAGCUGUGUUGACUCAAACCCAUCUUCAGCAAUAGAGUAUAAUCUUGGUAUCUCAUCUGAAUGAUGACUACACUUGAUAAAGAAAAACAUAGCUGGUCUCACAUUUAGCUCCCUCCGAGAUAUUCCGAUGAAGAGAGGAGAGCUCUGUGAUUGUAAAACACCGAUCAGGAUUUAGAUGUCUCUAGGGAUCCUAAGUAAGAAUAAAAGAAAAACCCUCUCUGACUUACAAGAGAUGAUGCUGGUAUUCCAGUUUCUUCGACAACUUCAUUGAUAAUGCUAUCAAACAUUUCUUGAGCUACCUUCUUGUUUAAAAGCUCACUGGUUUCACCAUCUUUCUCAAGCUGAUGAGAAUCAUCGAUACCUACUGCUAUUGGCUGCAAUGUUAAAAUUCAUCAACCAUGCACAAAAGAGUUAGAAAAGAGACGAUAUGAUGCUGCUUAAUGUGAAUACCUCUGGAUGGCCUCCAGGGAAUACGUAGUGACCUGGAAAUUCCCCGACGUUAUCACUCCGGCGUAACACAAUAAUCUUUUUGUCAGAAGUCUCGAUCACUGCACCAUUACCCAGUGGACUUGAUGUAUGUCGACAUCUUACAGAGUCAUCUGUUGGGAGAACAAAACUAUGGCGAUUAAGAAACCUGGUCAAAUCACCUGGAAGCUCUCCAGUUUCCCAACACAAAACUAGACAAUGAUCACAAAAAGUUUCUCGGAGGUUGGUAUUUGUGUGUACCUUCUGAUGUAACAAGGAACCUCUCCCACAGAGAACUCAAAUUCGUUCCUACAAAAGUCCUAGGAAACCAUGUCCGUGAUCAAUUACUCUCUUCAUGUAUACCAGGAAUCGACAAAUUAGAGUUCCUUCUGAUCCUAUGCAAAAAAUGACAAAGAGAGAUAAAUGAGUAACCUGUAAUCUGUCAGUCCAAGGCGAAGGCAGACGUGUGGUACUUCAUCGCCAUCACCAUCACCAUCUAAACAAUAUGAUCCAGACUGAACAUUUUUAAACAAAUUUUAGUGGAAAUUUGAUUACAUUGAAUGAAGUAGCUACUUUGAUUAGUGACCCAAGUACGAAACAACUUCAAAGACAAUACAUCUCGUGCAUUAAUUCUCAUCAUCUUUUUUUUGAUCCUUGCAAUUUCGAAACUCAAAUUAAUAUAACAUGAAACGCUAGGCAAAAAGUAUAUUGCAUACUCUGAAUUUUUGGCCAUUGAACAAUGAUGAAUUCCCCUGUGUUCUCUCCUCCCAAACCUAAUUUGCCAAGAACACGCAUCAGUUUCCCUCAUCAAAAGCUCGUACAUAUCUAGAGAAACAGGAGGUACGGAUAAAUUUGGAUACGAAGAAACGGCAACAUUCAAACUAUGAAAUGAAAAGUGAGAACCGAUAAUCGCCAUUUCAUUAGAGAUUUCAACAAUUUCGAUCCAGCAUUGUUGAAUUAUCGAAUCAGAAAACCAAACACAAGCUGUAGAUACUCGAUUUGGUUCUCUCACCAGCGAGAUAGAAUCCUCGAGACCAGGAUCGNNNNNNNNNNNNNNNNNNNNNNNNNNNNNNNNNNNNNNNNNNNNNNNNNNNNNNNNNNNNNNNNNNNNNNNNNNNNNNNNNNNNNNNNNNNNNNNNNNNNNNNNNNNNNNNNNNNNNNNNNNNNNNNNNNNNNNNNNNNNNNNNNNNNNNNNNNNNNNNNNNNNNNNNNNNNNNNNNNNNNNNNNNNNNNNNNNNNNNNNNNNNNNNNNNNNNNNNNNNNNNNNNNNNNNNNNNNNNNNNNNNNNNNNNNNNNNNNNNNNNNNNNNNNNNNNNNNNNNNNNNNNNNNNNNNNNNNNNNNNNNNNNNNNNNNNNNNNNNNNNNNNNNNNNNNNNNNNNNNNNNNNNNNNNNNNNNNNNNNNNNNNNNNNNNNNNNNNNNNNNNNNNNNNNNNNNNNNNNNNNNNNNNNNNNNNNNNNNNNNNNNNNNNNNNNNNNNNNNNNNNNNNNNNNNNNNNNNNNNNNNNNNNNNNNNNNNNNNNNNNNNNNNNNNNNNNNNNNNNNNNNNNNNNNNNNNNNNNNNNNNNNNNNNNNNNNNNNNNNNNNNNNNNNNNNNNNNNNNNNNNNNNNNNNNNNNNNNNNNNNNNNNNNNNNNNNNNNNNNNNNNNNNNNNNNNNNNNNNNNNNNNNNNNNNNNNNNNNNNNNNNNNNNNNNNNNNNNNNNNNNNNNNNNNNNNNNNNNNNNNNNNNNNNNNNNNNNNNNNNNNNNNNNNNNNNNNNNNNNNNNNNNNNNNNNNNNNNNNNNNNNNGCGUAUGAGUGUGCGUGAGCGUGUGCGUGUGCGUGUGCGUGUGCGUGUGCGUGUGCGUGUGCGUGUGCGUGUGCGUGUGCGUAUGCGAAUGCGAGUGCGUGAGAGAGUGCAAGUGCGUGUGCGUGUGCGUGUGCGUGUGCGUGUGCGUGUGCGUGUGCGUGUGCGAGUGCGUGUGCGUGUGCGUGUGCGUGUGCGUGUGCGUGUGCGUGUGCGUGUGCGUGUGCGUGUGCGUGUGCGUGUGCGUGUGCGUGUGCGUGUGCGUGUGCGUGUGCGUGUGCGUGUGCGUGUGCGUGUGCGUGUGCGUGUGCGUGUGCGUGUGCGUGUGCGUGUGCGUAUGUGUGUGCGUGUGCGUGUGCGUGUGCGUGUGCGUGUGCGUGUGCGUGUGCGUGUGCGUGUGCGUGUGCGUGUGCGUGUGCGUGUGCGUGUGCGUGUGCGUGUGCGUGUGCGUGUGCGUGUGCGUGUGCGUGUGCGUGUGCGUGUGCGUGUGCGUAUGCGUGUGCGUAUGCGUGUGCGUGUGCGUGUGCGUGUGCGUAUGCGUGUGCGUGUGCGUGUGCGUGUGCGCGUGUGCGUGUGUGUGUUCAGAAGCCAUACCGGCUUCGAUUAACGGAGAUGAGAGAAAACCUGAGAUAGAGAAAAGCCAGAAGGACAUGACAGAAGAAGUCGGUAUCGUGAUGCUUCGGGGAUCAUCACUUGUGCUAUUUUGGCCAUGGAAGAAGAAGCUCCUGCGAACCAUGGACGCACAAAUGACAAAGCUAUGGGAGAGAAAUUGCGUCUCGGACGUCGUCAGAUGCCGGAGUAAUGUGUGUGGGUCGAGAGACACAAUGGGCCGAAUCAAAAUCCUAUUUUUUCUUUAUUAUUAUAUAUAAAAUCCAAAAUUACAUAAAAUAAUACAUAAACAAAUUUUGAAAAACAAGAAAAAUUAAACAAAUAUGAGAUGCUUUACAAAGAAAAGUUUUCUCAUUUUCAUAUUCGUAUCUCUAAUAUAUUAAAGUGGAAGCACUAUUGGAUACUUGGCAACUCUACGAUUAAAGUUGAUAUUUAGCUAAAUUAUUAAUUCUUUUAAUUUUAAUUCUUCUACUAUCUCUAUUGCCAAAUACUAAAAUAUUUUCUAUAACACAUUUAUCUGCAAUAAUUUUUUUUAAAAACGUGUUAUUCAUAUAUUUUUUUAUUAACUGCAUAUUUCCAUUUAUAAUUUUAUCAACUAUUAACUCUCCACUGAACUGUUUGAAAAAUAUUUAUUUUCAUAUUAUUUAUAUAUUUUCUCAUUAAUUAUUAUUUAUAUAUAUUGAAUGAAAAUAAUUUACAAUAAACAUUUAAAAAAGAAUAUAAGCAUUAUAAUUACGUUAUUCAUUAUUCAAAAGAGAAUAAGCAUUCAUAUAUUAGUUAAUGAUUUAGCUAAUUCGUUUAUAAGCAUCGACAAUUCCAAGUUUUAAAAUAUUUCUAAUAUAUUAAAGUGGAAGCACUAUUAGACACUUGGCUGCUCUACCAUUAAAGUUGGUAUUUAGCUACAUUAUUAAUUUUUUUAAUUUUAAUUCUCCUACUAUCUCUUUUGCCAAACACUAAAAUAUUUCCUAAAACAUAUUUAUCUACAAUAAAUUUUACAAAAACACGUUCUUCAUAUAUUUUCUUAUUGACUGCAUAUUUAAAUUCAUAAUUUUAUCAACCAUUAACUCUCCAUUUAGCUAUUUGAAAAAUAUUUAUUUUUGUAUUAUUUAUAUAUUUUCUCAUUAACUAUUAUUUAUACAUGUUGAAUGGACAUAAUUUACAAUAAACAUUUGCAAAAGAGUAUAAGCAUUAUAGUUAUGUUAUUCAUUAUUCAAAAGAGUAUAAGCAUUCAUAUAUUAGUUAAUCAUUUAGCUAAUUCGUUUAUAAGUAUCAAAAAUUCCAAAAUUUAAAACGUAUUUAAUUUAAUAUCAUUUUUUUAAAAAUGAGACGGUAUUGAUUACUCAUUUUAAAAAAUCUUAGUCAAAUCUAUUCUCACUCAAAAUCUAUAACAAUAAUUUAAACUUGAAACGGAUAAAGUAAGUACAUAUAUUUUCGCAUAUUCUACAUUGAAAACAUUGUUCCUAUAUUUUCUAUACAUAUAUAUUUUCCUUGGGGAAUAUUUUUAAACAAUAACUAAACAUCCAUAUGAGUAACUCAAAUUGCGGAAGAUAUAUAUUUAUUCCUAAGCUAUAUAUAUGCGAGAUCCUUGGAUUACAUUAACAAGAAUAAAUUUCUAAAUUUGAAAUAUUUACCCUAGCGAUGUCAUUUUCUGAAUACCGUAUAUAUAUAGAUAUACGUUUCUCCAAUAUUUCCUUAUCCCUCACAUUUCAAUACAUUUCUGAAUCUCAAAUUCUCAUCUUGCUAUUAUGUCUUCUUUCACCGAUCUCUACUCCGUGAAGCUCUUCAAAACUCAAUGGAGAGUUUAUGUGAAGAUAUUGAAGGUGUGGAAACAAUACUUGAAUGGUGUAGAGAGGUUGGAAAUGAUUGUUGUUGAUGAGAAGGUUAUCUAUGCUACUUUAAAGCAUUUCUACUAAUCUAUAUAUUUUACCACUGUCCUCAUUUUACUUUUCAGUUUCCUACAAACCUACGUGGAUCUUUAAAGCAUUAAUAUUCUUUUUAUAUAUACACAGAAUCAAACCAUGCAUGUAACUUUGAAGAAGGAUUUCAUCAAGAAAAAUGAAAAUCUGUUAGAGGAAGGUGCCUCUAGAAUUAUCACAAAUUUUCUGGUUGCUCAUAAUGAUGGUAAGUUCAAGACCAAUCCUCACGUUUACAAAAUCUUUUUCGCAUCAACAACAUCUGUCAAACCGGCAGAAGAAAUGGAUCCAAGAAUCCUAGGUUUCAAGUUCGUCAAAUUUAGUGAUAUUCACGAAGGCAAAAUGAAUCUAGAUUUCUUGAUAGGCAAGUUUGUUUAAUUACUAAAUUAUAUAUUGGAUAUAUAGUUUGUGUGUGUUAUUCCAGAGUACUAACAUGUUUUUUUAAACCUCAGAUGCUAUUGGGAAAAUUGUGAGCAUUGGGGAUGUGGAGAUCUUGAAUGUUGGAAAGAGACAGACAAAGAAGCUUUCUAUGGAGAUCCGUGAUACAGAGUUAGCAUUUACAUUACUUAUCUAUCACGACUGCUCUAAAUCCUUACUAAUUGUGUUUACUAUCAUUUUUUCCUCAUUUUAUUUAUCAUUUUCAAUGUAAAAAUGUUCGACUUAAUUGUGUUCUUUGGGGACACUUUGCUGAAAAUCUUGAAAGUGUGGCUCAAAAUGCAAAUGAUGUUGUGAUCGUUGCUGUUUUACGGUUUGGAAAGUUAAUACUUUAUCAAGGUGCUUGGAGUGUUGGCAAUUGCUACAACUGUUCGAUGGUCAUUACUGAUCCAGUGUUUCCAGAGAGUUUGGCUUUUAAAGAGAGGUAAAACUACUUAUUCCCAUGUUUUUAUUUAUUACUUAAAGUUUCUAUUCUGAUAACUAUGUAAUAUAAUCUAUACAGAUUGCCAAAGGAUAGUUUAACCCUGACCUAUACCCAUCCAAAUCAGUUGACUAUUGUCAAUUCAGUAUCAGUAAUGGACGAUUUCUUCUUGCAUAGUCCUCAAAGGACUAUUAGUGAGAUUAUUGCUGCUUCUGAGGUAAUUAUAUAUUAUGUCAGUUCAAUUUAUAUAACCUAUUUUUUAUUUUAAUAUCAUUAUGCACUUUCAAAGGUUGUCAAAUGUGUUACCAUGGCCACAAUUAUGUCUAUAGACACUGCAUUUGGUUGGUAUUACAUGUCAUGCGGAGCCUGUGCUAAAAAGGUUCUCCCUCAUGAUAUGGAUUACUUAAAACUUAAAAGAACUGCAUCCUGGGAAAACUUUUAAGAAACAAUUGUAGCAGUGCAAAAAAUGCAAUGAGGAUGUUGAGAAUGUUUAUCCAUUGUAAGUCUGUUCUUGUUUUUGUGCUAUACUAAUGUUUUCACAUCUAAUUAAUUUUAACUUAUCCUAUUUCAAAUGAUGAUAGGUUCAUGUUGACAUUCAGUGUCAUGGAUAAUACUGGUGAAACCAAAUUUCUCUUAUUUGAUCAAGAGGCAAAGGAAGUUGUCAACCAAACUGGUGCUCAGUUAACUCAGUCUGUUAAUGAGGUUCAUAUUUCUACUGCAUGUUUCCAUAACCGUUUCUGACUUAGUCUAUUUAAAUUUUAUUAAAAUACUCUUUGUUUAGAUUUAGGAUCCAGAUGUUUUGCCCUUGGCUUUGAGCAAUAUUUGUGGUAAAAUGUUUCUCUUCAAGAUUGCAAUUGCAUGUUCAAAUAUUGUUUUCAAUAGUGACACAUACAAGGUCAUCGAUAUAUUUAGACAAAGUAAUGUGGUUAAGGAGUUUUCUGAAAUCUCUACUCCUCAGGUACAGUUAUAUCAUUUUGUUAUCACAAAUUGUUUAAAAACUACUUCUUUAUUUUUUAAUACAUUACUUUUACUUUUCGUAGAGCACUCCAAGUAUCAAGAUAGAGGAAAAAGCUCACAAUACGCUUGAUAAAAAUGUCUAAUUCUAAAUUAUAUUUUCUUAUAUUCAUGUGUAAAAUUCUAUAAUAGUUUUGUUCUUACAGAUUAAUUAAUAUGUUAUAGGUUCCUCUAAUGAUUAUGGAUGAUGAUGAUGCUGAAAUUACACCUACUUUUAAACGCAAAAGUGAUAACAUCUGAUUUUGACAACUUUUAUGGAUCAAUUUCAGUAUCUUAUGCAGGUGUUUUUACUCAGUUUUAAAAGUUUUAUAAGUGUUUUCCAUGUUUUGGAGUUUUAAAAGGCUUUUCAGGAAACUUUGGACUUUGGAGUGCAUUUUAGAGCAAAAGUAUAUUUUUGGAUAAAUUCAGACCGACAGACGUUUGGCAACCAAUGAAAACCUUUUCACUGUCUGAUCAUCCUCAAAUUUGGAGACAUUAUAGAGGAGACAACCAGAUUUCCAACACACUUGGAAUGAAAGCAAUCCAAUGGUUAGAUCUCCAGAUAUCAUCAAUGCACUGAAGGUCGAUCAACACAAACCCAGUCAAGCACAAGUGUUUUGAGUUAUAACUUAACAGAAUUUCAACAAACAUAGCUUACAAUUGUAAUUUCUUUUAGGUUUAUGUUCAUGAUUACAUUGUGUUUUAUUUUAAAUGAAACGAGAGUUUCUGCCGUUUUUCACAAAAAGUUUGUAAUUGUAAAUGUAAAUGGAAGAAUAAACCAUUUGUGUUUAUGAUUUGCAAAAAAAGAAAAAACAAAAGUGAUAGAUCAAAAUGAAAAUUUCCAAUUUGUUUUUUGGGAUCUUUUAGUACCUAAACACGAACAUUUUUUGUGUGUGCAAAGCUAACUUAUUCAUUCAUUUAAACUACGCGAUUACAGCGGUAAGAAAGAGUUAUCGAAAUACCCAAACAUGAACAUAUAUGCCAAAUUUGAACAACAAUCGACGCCAUAAUCUGAUUAACCAUAAAAUUUGUAAAUUGCCCCGGAGCUUGAUCAUAUACUGUACAAGAUUUAAACAUAUCUCACUAAUAGCUCUCAUGUAUGGUAUUUAAGACUAACUUUCUAUUUUNNNNNNNNNNNNNNNNNNNNNNNNNNNNNNNNNNNNNNNNNNNNNNNNNNNNNNNNNNNNNNNNNNNNNNNNNNNNNNNNNNNNNNNNNNNNNNNNNNNNNNNNNNNNNNNNNNNNNNNNNNNNNNNNNNNNNNNNNNNNNNNNNNNNNNNNNNNNNNNNNNNNNNNNNNNNNNNNNNNNNNNNNNNNNNNNNNNNNNNNNNNNNNNNNNNNNNNNNNNNNNNNNNNNNNNNNNNNNNNNNNNNNNNNNNNNNNNNNNNNNNNNNNNNNNNNNNNNNNNNNNNNNNNNNNNNNNNNNNNNNNNNNNNNNNNNNNNNNNNNNNNNNNNNNNNNNNNNNNNNNNNNNNNNNNNNNNNNNNAGAGGGAAGGCACGAUUUAUUUAGGUGGGUCAACCAAUGAAGAAAAGAAAAGUAAUCUGCCAAUAAUAAUCGGUGUUGUAAUCGCCGUAGCGUUUGUUCUUAUUAUCGCAUAUGUGUUCAUUGCUAUUUUCUUGGCAAAUCGUCGCAGAGCUAGGCUGCAAGUGUUGGCAUUGCCUACGUCCACAGGUAUAUACAUUGAGCCUCUUUAUGUGUUUUGUGUAAUUUAUGUAUAUAGUGAUUAUAUUUGAUUCAUUUAAUCUAAAGAUAUAUGAAACUAAUUUGGUCUUGACUAAUCUCUAUGUAAUCUAAAGAUGUGACAUUUUAUAUGUUUAACGACAGUGACUAAUUUGGGGACCGGAGCAUCCCCUCUAUACGGACAACAGAUGGGCAACGAUUCAAAAAAGCCUACAAAUGAUGCGGACAUAGGAGAAAUCGGCGACAUAAUUGGAGUGAACCAAUCAUAUGUAGCGCAGUGACACUGAACAUCAUGUGAAAUAUAUGUUUUGCUUUCCAUUAUAUGUGUUUCCAAUUAUUUUUUUUCGGUUUCAAUUUGCAAAUUUUUUCAUUCUUCUAGUCGUCAAUCUUGUUGUCGAUUAAUUAUUUCGGUUAAGACUUGAGAGAUAAACAAUAUUUUUACUUUUAUCUAUAAAAAAAUUCAUUGGUCAAAUGGCCAUUGGUUUUUGAUAUUGUGUUGGACGCAUCUAGCUUUUCGUUAGAGCAUGGAUUUCAGUUUAGAUCGGAUCGUCAACUAACCGAUCAAAUUACAUUUAAUAACUGCCGAGCAAUUCGUUAUUUGUCGAACUUCUUAUCUAUUAUUAUUACCCCUAUGCAUAAGUGCAUAACCGUUACAACAUGAACGUGCAGCCGUUUACUUUAACGUCUAUGUGCCAUAUAAGAAUACAAACGCCGUUGACUUUAAUAUGUCCACUCUAUGCUAAGUGAACCCAAAUAAGUUGGAUCCCAACAAAAGUGACCGCCUUCUACAUGACUACAUGUCUUAAGUAAUGGCUCAAAAUUGUAAAACAAGGUCAGUGAUGUUGAAAUAUAGUUAAUUAACAUAAUAUUUAAUCACGGCGAACCGAAAAAAACGAUAUGUAGACAGUAGACGUUAAUAUAAAUCAAAAUAUACCAGAGUUUACUAGGCUUCUAUUAGUUCUAUAUAUUAUAUAUAUCAUUACCGUGUUGAAAAUAUACUAUUGAGAAAUACCUUAAAAAUGAAAAAAAAAAUAGUAUUCAUCCCAAACCUAACACAUUAAGAUUAAAUUAUUGUGCGAAAAUAUUUGUUUACCCAAAAUAAUUUACAAAUAAAAUUAAAAUAUUAGUCAACUAGGUAGGAAUACAAGAAUGAAAACAUAAUUAGGAAAAUAAUUGUGAUGUGACAUUAUGACUAAUUCUCUGUAACUGUCAGCAAAUAUUUUUAUGUUUCUACCCUUGAUUUAGUGUCUUGAGAAACACACGUUAUAACUUGUUGUUGUGUUAUCUAUAUAUUUAAUUAAUUAUCAUGGUAUAACUUAUUGUAACUUAUUUCUUUUAGAUAUAUCGCUAACUUUAUAUAUAACAAAAGUGUUAUAUCGUACGCUUAAAAAAAUUUGCAAUGCUUAAAACAAUCUCUAUAUUAUUAUUUAAGUAGACAUUUAAAAAAAUAAUCUUUAUUUUAUAAAAUAUUACAUGAUAUGUCAUUACAAAUGAAAAAGAAUAAUUAAAAUAAGAAAUAAUAUAAUUGUCUUUCAAAUCUAUUGAAAAAAAUAUGGAAAGUUUUUGUUUCUCAUUUAAUAGAGUAUAUUUAUUAUUUGAUUUUUGUACUAAAAAAUAUGAUAGUUUUUUAUAUUUUUUGUUUCAAAUGAUAUCAUAAAUUUUAUUUAAUUAAAAAAACGUGGAAAUAAAAACAAUUUCACAAUUAAAUAAUAUAAAAUUAAGAGUAAAAGUUAUGAUAUUAAAAAAUGGUGAAUAUUUUUACUAUAAUUUGUUAUAUUUAAUUGAUUAUUUACAACAAAAAAAAUUUAGUUAUUUUUACAAAACAUUUGACAUGAAAAAUUUGAUUUUUAAUUAAAAAAAAGUUUGUGGUCAAGUGAAAGUUAUUAAAUGGUGCAUAUUAUAAUUAGUUUUAUAUUUUAAUCCAGUACAAACAUGUUAAGUAAACGGAUUAGUUUUGAUAUGAACGGAUCAUGAUUCUAAUUUUUUAAUAUCCACCAAAAAAAUAUUCGCAAAUCAAAAUUUUUUUUUUUAAAUGGUAUAUUUAAUCUACUAAAUAUUAUAAUUUUUUUUAAAACUAAAUAUAGUUUAUUGUAUUUUAAGUAAUUUUAUAUAAAACCUAAAUUUAUAUUAAUAUUUAAGUAAUCUUUAUUUUGUAAAUAUUACAUGAUAUGCUAUUACAAAUAAAAAUAAUAAUUAAAAUAAAAAAAGAUAUAGUUGUCUUUCAAAUCUAUUGAAAAAAUAUGAAAAGUUUUUGUUUCUCAUUUAAUAGAGAAUAUUUAUUAUUUAAUUUUUGUAUUCAAAAAUACUGUAGUUUUUUAUAUUUUUGUUUCAAAUGAUAUUAUAAAAUAAAUUUAAUUAAAAAAUGUGAAAAUAAAAAACUUUCACAAUUAAAUAAUAUAAAAAUCAAGAGUAAAAGUUAUGAUAUUAAAAAAUGGUGAAUAUUUUUACUAUAAUUUGUUAUAUUUAAUUGAUUAUUUACAACAAAAAAAUUUUAGUUAUUUUUACAAAACAUUUGACAUGAAAAUUUUGAUUUUUAAUUAAAAAAAGUUUGUGGUGAAGUGAAAGUUAUUAAAUGGUGAAUAUUAUAAUUAGUUUUAUAUUUUAAUCUAGUACAAACAUGUUAAGUAAAUAGGUUAAACUGAUCAUGUUUCUAAUUUUUUAAAUAUCCACCAAAAAAAUCUCGCAAUUCAAAAUAUUAUUUUUGAAAAAAUGUGGUAUAUUUAAUCUACUAAAUAUUAUAAAUUUUCUUUUAAAACUAAAUAUAGCUUAUUAUAUUUUAAUUAAUUUUAUAUCAAACCUAAUUUUAAAAAAUAUUAUAUUUAUUUACAUAUAUAGUUAAAAAAGAUAAAACUGAUUUUUUAUAAUUUGUGGACAGAUUAUAAAACUCAGUUAUUAAGCAGUGUAAAUUAUAUUUGAUGAUUAUAAUAUUAUAUAUUUUUGUAUAUUAAUGUUAAUAAUAUAUUAGUCUAAUCCCAAUGGAUUAAAUAAACAACUUAUUUUGCUUCACCCGCUUAUAAAAUAACUUCAUAUCCGGAUUAGUUCAAAUUUUUUAGAAUUCAAAUCAAAAAAAAAAUGACUCUACAUACAGAUCAACUCAUUUUAUAAAAUUCACAAAAUAACUAUUUUUGUAAAAUAACUGUUUUUGAAAAAUAAUUGUUUUUACCAAAUAAUUUUUUUUUGCAAAAUUAUUUAACGUAAUUAAAUUUCAAAAAAUUACCCCGCGCUACAGCGCAAGUUAAUCCCUAGUUCUAUAAUAAAACCAUAACAUUAUCGUGUUCAAUUAUAUCUAACAAGUUAAGUUACCAUAUAUAAUAAUUAAUAACUUGAGAAUGACUCGCGGCAGCGUUGUAAGGCUGCUUAGAGUCUUUGCCAACUAGCCGCACCGGAAAAAAAAAGCUUACAAUACUUUCGUUUAACUUGUAUCUAAAUAUAAUGUUGGUUUUGGAGACUUAUAUUAGCCCAUUGAUAAAUAUCACCGGGGUAUGGAAUAAGCUACAUAUAUUGAUUGUUAUGUCAAAGCUAGGGAAAUGGCUGGAAAGCUCCGAUGGAUGGAAAACUGAUCUCGUAUGUCACCGUCGUAAUAACAAUUUGUAAUUUAUUUUCUUUUUAAGUGUAGAAAGUAUGGAAAAACCAUAACAAUCAUUGAGAUGUUAAAAGAAUUACAAAAAAACCUAAUAUUUACCCACCCGACCCGACGGAAAGGGGAUUUUACUCAGGUUGAGUCGGAUUUAUUCAUUUUUCAGAGAAGUAAAAACCUAAAAUUCAUUUCUGCAAAAUCGAGUGUAAUCAACCGUUUAAAUCUGUUGUGAGAAUCGAAGUUCUCGCCGGAAUCGAAGUUGUCGCCGGAAUCGCAAAGUCUGUGGUCGCUCUCCGUAAUGGCGAAGGUAAAGAAAGGGAAACAUGGAGUUGUUUACGAUUCGAUCAAAACCUCCACCACAGAAAACCUUCCCGAAGCAACCGUUGUCGAGAACAAAGGCAUUCCUCCCCCCAAAAGUGCUCAUCACCGACGCUAGGGGUAGUGUAAUGGGUGUGGAAGCAGUCAAGGCAGGGCGAGAAGGAGAUGAAGAAGAAGUAUUGGAGGAAAAUGGAUAGUCAGUUUCCGAGGGGGCCGGUUCCAAGGAAGCAGACAGGGAAGGAGAUGAAGAAGGAGAGGGAAAAGAAGAGGAAGAAACGAAAGAAGCCAAGGAUGAAGAAGAUGAAAUACAAGAGGAGGAAGCAGAUGAUGAAGAUGAGGAAGCCGACGAUGAAGGAGAUGAGGAGGAGGCAGAGGAAAAAGAAGAGGAGGAUGCAGAUGAUGAAGAAGAGGAGGAAGCAGAGAAAAAUGAAGAAGAGGAAGCAGAUGAUGAAGGACAGGAAGCAGAUGAUGAAGGACAGGAAGCGAAAGCUGAGGUAGCAACAGAGGAGGAAUGUGAGGACAUAAACGAUGGGGAAGAAGAUGAGCAGGUAUGUACUGUAUUCAUGUACUGCUUGAUGUGAAUUGGCCGCAGGUUAGGAGUUAGUAGAGGAGAAAUCCGGUUUUGUUUGAUUGAUCGUGUAAUUAUGUAGGACAACUGGAACAACAGGUACAGCUAAGUAUGAUAAGUUUGUGUUUCAUGGUUGAAUUUUGGAAAACUGUGUCAACUAAUGGAAAAUGUAAUUGAAUUUUAGGAUUCCGAGGGUGAUAGCUAGCCGAUGCAACCUGAGAAGCUUUUCUUUAAGCCAAUCGAGUUUGGCAAAGCUUGCAAGAUAGUUACUAGAUGUUCUGUAAAGAGUGUUGUCCAGAAGAUAGAGGCAUUGCCAGAAGAGACGAAAUGGUUCAAAGCACACCCUCAAUUCAGGCACAUAUUUCACAUGCCCAAGGAGCCGAAUCACAUGAGUCAAGGUCUGUGGAUGCUCCUUCUCCAUACUGCUAAAACCGGGAAGGAAAGUGAGUGCUGGUUUGUUGUAAACGGUGUUCUCAUCCGUUACUCGUUGAGAGAGCAUGCGCUCUUCUGUGGCUUAGACUGUCAUGAGUACCCUACAAAGUAUAAGGAAUUGGGGGGGGGGGGGGUUGGAGCUUUGUUGAGAGACAGUUUGGAAGGAAGAAGGCAAUAACAGUGAAGGAUGUAGAAGAGAGGCUUGAGGCAAUGGAGAGCUCUGAAGAUAAGAAAAAGAUGGCAGUACUCUUUUUCUUAUGCAAAGUUGUUAAAGCCAACUCUAAGGCUAAUGGUAACAUAGAGCCCUUCUUGCUUCGAGUGGUGAAUGAUCUGAGGCUGUGUAAGAAAUUUCCCUGGGGACGCUACACGUUUGAUAAUUGCAUGAAGGAGAUACAUCGUGUGAUGAGUAAGCUCAGAGGAAGCGUGAAAGCCAGAGGACAUCAUGCAGCUUUGCUGGUUUCAUUGUUCCUCUAGAGGUAUGUAUUAUUAAUGAGUUUUCAAGUAUUGGUAUUGUGAUAUUGAUUUUUUGAUAUUGUAAUUUUCUAUGUAGAUUAUGGCGUUUGAAUGUAUUCCUGAGCUUCGACGGAGAUGCCAAGAAAUUGUGCUUGCAAAUGGAGACUGUCCACGCAUGUGCAAGGGGAAGUUUUCUGAGAUAUGCAUGAGAGGAUUUCCUUUGGAGGACAUCAACGAGACGAUAAGCAAUAGUAGCGAGGUAAAUGUUAGUAGUAUCCUUUGAUGAGCAAUAUUAUAAGAUUGACCUAGGUUGGAAGUAGUAAGUAGGUUUGGUUAUUUAUGACAGGAUUUUAUAAGCAUAUUGGAACCUGACUCUGAGGAAGAAGUGCUUAUAAAUCGCAUAUUGGAACGUGGAUAUGACGAAAGGAUAGGGUUUGUUGAUCCGUUUGUUGAGUAUUGGACUGAUUACCUCACCGUAAAGAAGAAGAAAAUAUGUUGGAAACAAUUGUAUGACUUGGAGGUUGGUUGUCGAGGUCAGAAACCGGAACAUAAACCCAAGCCUGAACCGGAUAAGGGUACAGCAGUAGUGAAUUUGGAAAAGAGGUUAGAGGUUAUGGAGGAGAGACUGAAAGUUGUUGAGAAAUAUUUGAAAGAAAAGAUGGAGUUCACUGGAACAGAAGUGAGGGCACCACCAUCAGCAGUAGAAGUUCCUACACCCACACGAGUUCCUACACCUCCACCAGAAUCAGCAGUAGUCCUUACAACACCAGCAGCCCUCUCGCCCAGACAAGAAUCCACAACAACAGCAGUCUUCUCACCCAGACAAGACUCCACAGAACCAGCAGCCAUCUCACUAAUACAAGUGUCCACAGCCCCGUCCUCACCACCACCAGAAAGAGUCAAGAGGCAAGGUGCACCAUCACAGUGGAAGAAACCUUCGUUUACAGAAGCAAAAAAGACGGAAAAAGGUGGGAAUGAAAAGGUUUCCAUGGAAGAAGAGAAAAAAAGCAGAAGAGAAGAACCAGGUCGAAACAGGAGCUUCGAAUCAAACUAGGAAUAAAGAGAAGAAGGCUGCCGGGGAAGAAGUGAAGAACAAGGUGUAGACAAGGGCCUCGAAAAGACCUAAGGUUUAGGUUGUUUGGAACUUUUUAAUGUAUGGUUGGUACUUGUUUGAAACUUGUUUGAUACUUGUUAGUGGUUGGUACUUGUUUUUUUUAAAGUCCAAAUAUUUUUUUGUAGUUGGAAGUUGUCUCAAAGUUUUGUUUUUUGUGGAUCUUGUUUGGAGCUUUCGUGAAAGUCUUGUUGUUGUGCAAAAUUGCAUGAAUGGUUUAGGUUUGAAGUUACAACAACCGUAUUUUUUUUUUUUUGGAUUGUAACUUCUGGGACAAGAUGGUUCAACUAAGACGAAUUGUUUACUACAUAACAAAUCAGGGACAAUUAGGUCAACUAAUACGAAAUGACCUACAUUAAAAAUAUGGGACAACAAGGUUCAACUAAUAAAAAAUACAUGAGAAAUUCAUUAGACAAUUGGGACAACAAGGAUCAACUAGGAAGCUUGGUCAACCUUCCAUCUUCUUCUCCAGUGCCGCCUCAAGAGCUUCGACCUUCGCCUCUAGCUUGUUUAUCUUUGAGCACAUGGCUUCAAACACAGACUUCAUAUCUUCUUGAGUUUCCUUUGCCAUCUUAAUCUACUCUUCGAUCGCGACAUCCCACCACUUUUUAAAUCCACAACUUGGAACCUGGAACACACCAAAUGCAGAUGAAGCUUAAGAUGGUGCAAAAAAGAUAGAACAUCACAAAAGAGACGAAGAUUUAAACAUAUCUUACUUCCAGGAAGUUUUUGGGUCCACAUCAACCGUAAAAGCAUCCAUAGUAUCUCUGGCCCCUGUCUAGCACAGAGUUGUCGAUUAGGCCCGGCCAAGGAGCAAUACGGGAGGGACCGCAGUAGCAGAACUCCAGAAUUCCCAUUUGCUUAGGGCAUUCGACAAUGGUUCUGACUCCAUUAAAUUCGGGACCCCAUCUUGUACCUUUGCCGUAAUCCUUCUUUGGGAAUGGUAACCCCUUGUCCAUUCCUGCAAUCGAAAAAAACAAACUAACAAUCGAUACACUCAAGCCAAUUCCCCUGAACCCUAUUUCGCCUUUUUCUCUAUCUUUCUUGAUAAAAGAAUUUCUGAGAACUGAGAUAACAAUGAGUUUUAAUAAUAGAAAUUGGGGGGAAGGGAAACUUGAAAUUUGGAUAUUUGGAGGGAAAUUGAAAUAAUUUUGGAAAUGGGCUUGGAUGGAACUUGAAAUAUUUUUGAAUUAACCUUAAAGACGUCGUCGACUUCGAAGCCCAAUAAUCGAGGCACGUGACAAAAAAAAACGUGCGCCGUCAUUUUAGUACGUAAUUGUCCGUAAUUGUCCCAGUGAUAACAUUUUCUUAAUAGGUGUACUUUGGUGAUUUAUGAAGUUUUUAGAUUGUCCUUUUAUAUAAAUAAUCACAUUUUAGUUGUCCAGAUGAAUUAUUAGUUUAAAUUGUCAUCCUAAGGGUUUUCAAGGUAAAUUCUCAAUAAAAUCAUGUAUUUGUUAUAUUUAUAUGUGCCUAAGGUCCAUCUUGUGGAUAAUUUAUACAUAUAAAUAUUUUUUUUUAUGGAUUUAGUAAUAAUUAUUGUCACUACUAAUAGUAGAACCUUAAGAAUCCAGUUGUACCAAAUGGAUCCGCUUUGCAAAACUGGCACGCAACAAAGUGACUAACAAACAAAACACACAUAAAUACAAAAGCGUCAACAGAAAUAGAAGAAAUACAAAUAGUUGUCCAUAGUCGAAAUACAAGUACAAAUAGUUGUCCAUAGUCGAUCAGGUUGUCCAAAUAAAAACAAGAAGAAAUACAAAUAGGUGUUUAUAGUCGAAAUACAAGUACAAAUAGUUGUCCAUAGUCGACCCGGUUGUCCAAAUAAAAACAUACUCAGAACCUAAGUUUUCCCGCUUUCUGACUGCUGAGAACUUCGGAAACAAGCCUCCAAGUCCAAGUGAGGGUCUGCCUUGUUCUUUGUCCUCCGGCGACGUUCUCCAGGCUUUGGUACACGCUUUUCUUUAUUUCUACCUGGUUUUUUCUUCACAUCUGGUGGUAAGACGACCAACUCUUUGAUGUUGUCAGGAAUAAUCCACCCAAUAUGAUGAGGAACAGGAUAAAUUGUUCGAUGGUAUGCCAAUGCCCACGUCUCAAUCAAGUAAUACUUUGAGCACAAGUCAUACACUUCGAUAUUCGCUGAUCUAUCUUUGGUGCUCAUCAGUUUCUUCGCUGCGGCUAUUGCAUGUUCACACGGAAACUUGUCUAUAUCAAACCGCCUGCAGUAAAAGCUUUUCGCUUUCAAGUUCACCACGUAAGUUUUUCCGUCCAGUCCAUUAACGCUGUAUUCAAGCUCGUAGCUGUUUAGUUCCGUCACCACUAAAAGAGACGCGAUUGCACAUCGAGUGUGGAUUUCAUUCUCCACAACAGGCACCACUCUCUUAUUGUAAAAAGGACCACUAGAUUCCUUCCUAUAUCUAUUAAAACAUUCAGAUAUUUUGGCUAUAAUCGCAUCGAUCAUAUGCAAUAAGGCGUACUUCCUCGCAGUCACUAAACAACUAUUCAUAGACUCUCCGGUGUUACUAGUCUCUAUGUUGUACUUAUCCCCCGCAAAGCAGCACCUAGCCCAUUCUUCCAGCGUCACACUCUUAUCAAGGUACUCAGCGGCUUUAGGAAACCUAACUCUAAAAUCACCAUACUCUCUAAUGAAAUCAGAUUGAGUAUAGAUAUGCGCGCAAUCCCUGAAUUUCGCAGCAACGAAGUCUUUAUUGAUAUUACUAACUUUAUCUCUCACAUUUUGCGAAAUAUGUCAAAUACAAUAUCCAUGAUGAGUGCUUGGAUACACCUCGGAGACUGCGUUGAUGAUGCUUGCAUGUCUAUCACUCAUAAACACUAAUUCAUGAUCAUCUGGAAUCAUGGUUUUUAACUUCUCGAGAAACCACCCCCAGCUACAAUUAUUCUCGCCAUCAGUCACACCAAACGCAACCGGGUAAUUUUGCCAAUUAGGGUCUUGAGCUGUGGCAAAUACUAGCAUACCACUAUAGGAACCCGAGAGAAAAGUUGCGUCCACUACUAACACUUUCCUCAUUGCUAUAAAACCUUCAACGCAAGUGCCUAAAGAAAUGAAUAAGUAUUUGAACUUCUUCUCUGUAGUCAAUUCCACGCUUGUUACCGUUCCGACAUUUACCUUCUCCAACAUGUGCAAAUAAGGAUACAACAUACCAUAACUUUCUUCUGGACUGCCUUGUACAUAAUUAAUUGCGAGUUUCAUGCCUCUCAAGGCAGUGGAAUAGGAUACAUUCAUACCAAUAUGCCCUUGAACAACGUUGAUGAUACUUUUAGCAACUGGGGUAUCGAGCCGACCUGGAUAGACAUCAUGCAGAACCGAUGCUACCAUUUCUGGCGUACCUUUCAAUUUAUUGCUGCUUGUAGUCUGAGAAGCACGGGAACAUUUGUGCAUCUUUCUAUACACCCUAACACUGAAACGGCUUGAAUCCUUAACACUCGCAGCUCGAAGAUACCACUUACAACCUUGUUUCUUCUGACGACAUUCUAGCAUAAGUCUGUUUUUAUCCGACUUGAUAGUAUUGAACAAAAAACAGUAUUUAUGCGCAGCUCUCUCAAUCAAAUGUUGCACUGUCGCCUUAAAACUAAACUCUUGACCAACUACAAGAUCCGCACCAUCUUCCCAUUCAGCAACUAACUGACUUUCUUUAGCAGCACAUGGUGGUUCAUAAUAGUGAGGCUCCUCCAUACAAUCACCUCCUAAUAUGUUAUCAUUCAAUGCCAAAAUUUCAUCACUAUCGUUACCAUCACCCCCAGAUUCUUUAUGCAUACCUUCAUCAACAUCAUCCUCCAUCGGCUCUUUAAUAAUUGGCUCAUUGUGUUGCUUUGCUGUUCCCUCUGCUCUGUAGAUAGUUAGGAUCCCCACAUCACCACUGACAUUUGAACCAAGCUCUCCUUUGUUCAAACCAACUGAGCUACCUUGAUCAGCUCUAGACAGUUGCGGAGACAGUUGCGGCUCCAUUUGAGUUAGUUCCAUAACUUUCAUUAUUUCCUCGUGCAAAGCUGAUCUAAAUUCCUUUUCGUCCACUGUUGUUAGAUAUACAUAAACAUCCUCAUCAUCAUAAAUAUAUGACUGGCUCUGAGGGUUAAAUACCAAUGGAAUGUAGCUCGAUUUCAGUUGCGGUGUUCUUUCAUCUAUUGUCAUCUUCCUGCAUAUCGUCUCUACUAAAACCGAGUAAGUAAUCUCCUCCAAUAGCACAAUAUUUCAAAGAUAUUGCAAAGGUGGAACUUCCUCCAAUCCAUUUGAACACCUCUCCGACUUCUGUAUACUUUUCUCCAUAAUCAAUGUGUAUGUUUACGGACGGACUCAUUCUGCCCCACCCUUCUUGUAUAUAGGAAACCAAAAUACGCUUAAUUUGUCACAGUUGUACCAUUAAGUAUCAGUUGUUCUAUAACUCAUAUUUGUACCUUUGUGUACUAGUUGUUCUAUACCUCACAUUGUACCAUUGUGUACCAGUCGUCCUCAAUUUCUUAGUUGUACUAAUUUGUACCAAUUAUCCUAAAUCUGCAGAUUUUGCCCCAUCUCGAUACUCAUGGCGACGUCUAAUCUAGCUCAAUGGGGACCUCUAUUCACCAAUCAAUCUACCUAAUUGACCCAAUGUACAUACCACAACAUGCAAUGUUGCCAAGGAAAGAUAUACCAUACCUAAUCAGAGAAAGAAAAUGAGCUAAUUGGGGAAGAGAGAAGGGAGGACUGCCGCCGACGGCCAGCUGAGAGUUCUGCGCUUUCAAAUGCAGCGUGUGACCGGCGGAGAAGAACAACAACCGCGAACGAUAAAAAGAAGAGGAUCAAAUCUUCGUUUUCCAGCAACAAAAUCGAUUUUUGAAAUCGCGUUUUCUUUACCGGCGAUCAGCAAUAUAUUUGCGUUUCCAAAAUAAAUUAUACAAAAUCGAUUUUAACAAAAUACACAGAAAGUGGAUCCUCUCAUUAAAGUUAGAUUAGUAUUUUUCCCAACUUAGUGGCAUGCCGAUAAAAAGGUAGCAGGCUAGAACGACUGCUACACAAAUAAUGGCAUGCGAGCAGGCCCGGCCUUGAGGGCAGGCGAGAGAGGCGACCGCCGCGGGCAUCCAUUCUAAAGGGGCAUAUUUUUGCGACAUUCAUUAUAAAAUGGCAUAUUUUUUGUUAAAAACAAAUUAUUAGGGAUCAAACUCUAAUUUAUUUCGAGUCCAGGUUUGAACAGUUCCAAAAGUAUAACCAAACUUUUAGGUUUUUGUUUGAUAUAAAAAAACUAAUAUCGGCCAUCAAUGAUAGUUUUUCGAAAUUGAAGCUGAUAAGGAAUUAUUUGCGCGCUACUAUGUUACAAGAGCGAUUGAAUGAUGUUGAGAAUCAAACACGAAGAAAACAAUAAACAAUAGAGAAAAAUCGUAAAAUGAGGCAAACGCCCGUUUAGAGUUUUCUUAUUAAUUGUGUGAAUGAAUAAUUACAAACCUUAAAUCUUGUAUUUAUAGCCCCAAAAACCCGACUCCUUAACCCACUAGAUAAAGGAAAACCUAAAUCUAGCCCAAUAAAGAAACCGUACCGUUCGCCCCCCACACCCUAAGUAAAUCUGCGUCCAUCCAUAGCUUUGUUAUCAAUUGAGACAACUAUGGUUGAAAAACUCGAUUACGACAGUUUAAUGAACGAUUUUACACAGAAAAAAAAACAAAAAGAUCUAUAUUUCAGCAAUAAACUAUAUGUUUUAUUGGAUUUUUUUUCUUACAAACCAUUUAUAGAGUUUUAUUGUUUUAUGAAGUUUUUAUUUUAUAUUUUAUUAUUUUAAUUUUUUUAAAAAAAUAUAAAAGGACAUAUUUUUAAAAGUUAGAUGCGGGCAUCCAAAUUGAUCGGUCCGGCACUGCGAGACAUUUCCCCGUCAAAGCUGCAUCGUCAUCGUUAGGAGAAAGCUUAACACAGUACCAACUACGUCCACGUGUAUAUAUAUUUAACUUUACUUAAUCGUUACAUAUAUUACGAAAUUGUUUAUCUGAAUAUAGAAUUUAAGUAAUAUUGAGUUUUGAUCUCUAGCUCGUAUAUAUGUUUCGAUGGGCAGAAUUGAAUGACUCCUCUAGUAGGACAGCAGUUUGCUAGUGAUACGAAUGAUUCGUAUGUUGUUCAAGAUGAUCAUCACUGAGAUGGAUCUGAGACUUCUUAGUUGUAGUUGAACUUGAUCCAUUUGCUAUUCUACAUGUCCUUUCUUCAUUUAUGAUUUAAAAAAAAAAUUAAAGAGGGUAUUUUGUUUAUUUUGUAGACGACCAACAAUUGUCAUAAAGGUGAUUGAAAGCGGAUACAAGAACUGAUGCCAAAUCUACAACGUUAUCCACAAUAAUUUUUAGAAAGAGGUGUAAAAAGUGUCUGAAUUCGAAUUGGCCGAUGUAAGAAAAAAAAAAGAACCACUCGCAAGCCGGCAAGCGUAAUUUGUUAUCAUGGUUUCCAAUCCGAGAAUACUAUAAUUUUGACGAUGCUUUGCUUGAUAAGUCAUAACCUUCUUUUUUAUUUCCGCUUUAUAACUCUAACAAAUCAGACGUAGUCCAGAGGAUCUUAAGCCCGAAUGAUUGACCGGUCUAUGCUAAUGCUACAUAUAUAGUUGAGUGAAUUCGCGGCGAGGUGGAGGUUUUUGUAAAUUUUUAUUCUGGUUCAUGAACUUGGUAUCAGUAAUAUCAAAGCAUACACAUUUUUGCAAGAAAGACCCAAACGGUGUAUUUUCAUUUGUAAGAACUUUUAUAUCAUAUAUUGGUUAGUUGUGGAGACGGCGAACGUACAUUUGAAUAAUCAAUAAUACAAGUACUGCCUAGAAAGACCAAAAAAGAAAUAUGGGGGAAAAAAGUCAAAAGACUCAAAAACUCUAGAGACAUGUUCUCAUGUUCGAUACCAACUUGUUUUAAAAAUACUAAUAGACAACUCAACUCGACACAUAUAACAGAUAUAUAUAUAUAUAUAUAUAUGACAUAUAUAUAUAUAUAUAUGUAUAUAUAACUAUAAGUAGGUUGUGUGUAUAAAUUUGCCCCAUUAGUUGAAAUUAGCUCCCGUCAUGGCUUCUGCUUUGCUUUUUCUUCUUUUCUUUCAUUUCAUCAUAACCCUCUCUAUAGCCAGUAAGUAGUUCUUUACAAACUUUCAUUAAUCUCUUAAUUUGGUUGUCUAUAAAUAAAUUACCUUUGAUUCACACGUAAUUCAAGUUCAUCUUUCUUAACCCUAGCUACCAUGCAGUACUGCUACCAUGUUGGCUUAGUGAUCAGAAGAGUCUUAAAUAUAGCCAUAAACCUGAAAUCCCUGGUCGGGAUCGAUCCACACGAUUAACGGAUUUUUUUAGUGUUUUAUCUGAUGUCAAAAAUUUCUUUAGUAAUAUAUAUGUAAUAUAUAUGUGUCAUGUGUGCGUGUAUAUAUAGUAAUAUAUAUAUAUAUAUAAAUUCUUUAGUAAUAUAUAUAUAUAUAUAUAUAUAUAUAUAUGUGUCAUGUGUGUGUGUGUGCUGGGGUAUUGAAGAUCUAUAACGGACUUCUGAAUUUUUACGAAAUUCCAUCUUACAUAAAGCGUAUAAAAGUCCCUCAAUUAUGUGGAUCGAACUUCUUACGAAACUCGAUAUACGUAGCAUUAUUAGUUAACUCGAUUAAACUAAUUUUAAAGAAGAUCUUUUAAAAAAAAAACAUUGAAUGUAAUCAAACAAAGAACCUUUGUUACAUCUAGUGCAAUUUUUUUUUUCUUAAACCGUAGCUAUCUUUAUCAUCAUCAUAAUGGUUCAUAGCAUGCAUUGAUCAAUUUCAGGCGUAAACAUAGACUGUGGAACGUCUUUGUCAAGCGUAGACAACAACUAUAUAAGAUGGGUCGGAGACACAGACUUCGUCACAUCCGGAGUGUCGGCCACGGUUUCCUCAACAACCGUUGAGAGAUCCCACACCACACUUCGGUAUUUUCCAACGGGUGAAUCAAAUUGCUACUCCAACAUUCCGGUUAAAAAAGGCGGAAAGGUCCUAGUGCGAACGAUGUUUUACUAUGGGAACUACGACGGGAUGUCCUCAUCCCAAACGUUCAGCGUAGUGUUCGAAGGUAAACACCGACGCACUGUAUCGAUAACCUCAGCGUUCCUACCUCACACUUUGGAGCUGAUAUUGCUCCAGCCAGUGGAGAGACCAGCGUUUGUUUUGUGCGUACGUCUACGUCAUCAAAGCCUUUUGUAUCCUCCAUUGAAGUUGUCGACUUGGCCGAUGGCAUGUAUGACGAGCUCGGUCCUGGUGAAGGUUUGUUUUACCAACAACGAGUUGCGUAUGGCACAACAGAAGUUCUAAGGUAAUUAACAUCUAUAUACAACAGCGUGUAUAAGUUACGUUUCAUGGCCAAUAAGUAGAUUGAUUCAUAUCUUCAUGCAUUAGUAUAGACUGUUUUCUUCUAAAUUUUGAUGUAGAAUCUGUGAAAAUAUUCUAUAUUGAAAGUUGAGAGAAAUCUUGGAUAAUAUAUAAAAGAUUUGGACCAAUUCAUUUUUUUAGUUUGGUUUUGAAUUGGAAAUCCUGAAAUUUAACAUAAUAUUACAGCAAGAGCAAGGUUAUAUGUUGCCCAAUUUAAACCAAAAUCAAUCCGGCCAAUCAAAAGAGGUCCUUUCGAUCUCAAUUGAAAUCGGUCCGACCUGAUUUAUUUGACUGAUCUUACUUGAAAUUAAUUUUAUAAGGAAUAUUGUGGAGAUUAAUAGCUAGACGGCUCAUGAGGCAUGUGAAAGUAUCUCAUAUUGAAACUUGAAAGUUGUGAGAUAUCUUGGAUAAUAUAUAAAGAAUUUGGAGAAAUCAACUCAUAACCAAUUAGUUUUAAAUUGAAAGCUCAUGAUAUUUAACAGAUCCUAACAAACAUAGGUUAUAAUUGUAUUGUUUGAGGAUUGUGUUCAUGAUUACAAUGUGUUCUCUUUUUCUUUUAGAUCGGAUCUUUACGGUAGAUUUUGGCUUCCUUCCGAGAUAAACAUAUUGCUGACCGGAAUACCAUCCUCGGCUGCAUCCAUCGAUACCUCUGGUGCAUCAAACAACCCGCCUGAGGCCAUCCUCCGUAACUCUUGGAGCACAGAAGGCUUAACAUUAGUCGACCCCAGUCUUUCUUCUGGAGGAGUUCCGGUUUAUUUGGCUAUGUAUUUCUCGGAGCCUCUCCAAUCGAGUGUACGAUCGUUCAACAUAAGAUUUGGCAGUACGAAAGUUAAUAACGUUCCAGUUGUGCCAGUGUUUGGAAAAGCUACACAAGUUGUAGUGAGAGACGUUGUGGCCAGAUCUAGCUCCCAGCUAGUGUUCCAGUCCACAGCUAGUGCGGUUUUACCCCCCAUGAUAAAUGCAUUGGAGCUUUAUGUGAUAAGUUCUGGUUUUAGCGAAAGCAGAAACAGAACAGGAACAGGUAGUGAUGGUGGUGGUGGAGGUGAUGGUGGUGGUGGGAGUGGUGAUGGUAGUGGUGAUGGUGGUGAUGAUGAUGGAGGUGAUGGUGGCGGUGGUGGUGAUGAUGGUGGCGGUGGUGGUGAUGGUGGGGGUGGUGAUGGUGAUUGGUAAUCAGAUGUUACACNNNNNNNNNNNNNNNNNNNNNNNNNNNNNNNNNNNNNNNNNNNNNNNNNNNNNNNNNNNNNNNNNNNNNNNNNNNNNNNNNNNNNNNNNNNNNNNNNNNNNNNNNNNNNNNNNNNNNNNNNNNNNNNNNNNNNNNNNNNNNNNNNNNNNNNNNNNNNNNNNNNNNNNNNNNNNNNNNNNNNNNNNNNNNNNNNNNNNNNNNNNNNNNNNNNNNNNNNNNNNNNNNNNNNNNNNNNNNNNNNNNNNNNNNNNNNNNNNNNNNNNNNNNNNNNNNNNNNNNNNNNNNNNNNNNNNNNNNNNNNNNNNNNNNNNNNNNNNNNNNNNNNNNNNNNNNNNNNNNNNNNNNNNNNNNNNNNNNNNNNNNNNNNNNNNNNNNNNNNNNNNNNNNNNNNNNNNNNNNNNNNNNNNNNNNNNNNNNNNNNNNNNNNNNNNNNNNNNNNNNNNNNNNNNNNNNNNNNNNNNNNNNNNNNNNNNNNNNNNNNNNNNNNNNNNNNNNNNNNNNNNNNNNNNNNNNNNNNNNNNNNNNNNNNNNNNNNNNNNNNNNNNNNNNNNNNNNNNNNNNNNNNNNNNNNNNNNNNNNNNNNNNNNNNNNNNNNNNNNNNNNNNNNNNNNNNNNNNNNNNNNNNNNNNNNNNNNNNNNNNNNNNNNNNNNNNNNNNNNNNNNNNNNNNNNNNNNNNNNNNNNNNNNNNNNNNNNNNNNNNNNNNNNNNNNNNNNNNNNNNNNNNNNNNNNNNNNNNNNNNNNNNNNNNNNNNNNNNNNNNNNNNNNNNNNNNNNNNNNNNNNNNNNNNNNNNNNNNNNNNNNNNNNNNNNNNNNNNNNNNNNNNNNNNNNNNNNNNNNNNNNNNNNNNNNNNNNNNNNNNNNNNNNNNNNNNNNNNNNNNNNNNNNNNNNNNNNNNNNNNNNNNNNNNNNNNNNNNNNNNNNNNNNNNNNNNNNNNNNNNNNNNNNNNNNNNNNNNNNNNNNNNNNNNNNNNNNNNNNNNNNNNNNNNNAUGCAUAGAUCACAAAUAAUUAAAGCAAACACUACAAGAAAAACAUCAUUUUACAACGGCCGAAAUGGUCGUUAAUUCGUCGUAAUAGGGCCAUUACGACGGACUACCGACGAUUUCGAAAUCAUCGUAAAGUCAUCGUCGUAAUAGACAAAUCGUCGUAAAAUCGUCGUAUAAUAUACGACGGUUUUGUUUCAUCGUAACGUCGAGGGAAACAAAAUCGUCGUAAAUGCGUCGUACAGUUUACGACAAGUUUACAUCGAAUUGCGUCGACUUGAUCUUCAUCUAGACCGUCGUUAAGUGGUCGUUAAUGGUCGACGUAAGAUCGUCGUAAAAUGUACGAUGCAUAAAUCGUCAUAAAUCAAUCGUAAAGUAUUUCUUCAUUUCGUCGUAAAAUCGUCGUAACUCUCGGACGUAUAAUCGUCGUAUUUGUCAUCUACAUUGUAGUCGAAAAUUCGUCGUAAUAUUUACGAUGAAUGUAUGACGGUUUGAAUAAAUCUAUUACGACGAUUAUACGACGUUUAAUAUAAUUGAAAAUUAAAAAAAAAUAAUUCGAAUUAAAAUUAAAAUAAAAAAAAAUAAUUUACAGUUUAAAAUUUAUGAAAAUUUGAAAUUAAAAUUAAUUGUAAUUUACAAAAAAAAACCCUACAGAUCUAAAUCUAAAUCUAAAUCGAUCCCGUCGAUUCGGUCACCGGCCUCCUCGACAUCGUCCUGGACGUGUUCCUUGCCGAGUUAGCUGCGUCUGUCGCUCCUCGUUCGCCGCACAGGUGGCGUUGUAGAUCUUCUCCGCCCGAGGAUCCGUGAAUUUGCCGUUACGCUUUUUAUGCGUCUCGGCGAAAACCUUCGUCAUCGGAGAAAGUUCACCUUCGUCAUCGGAUGAAGUUUUCCUCCGUUAUCUUCAACCUACAAAAUCAAAAUGAAAACAUUAAUUAGUAUCAAGAAAUAAGAGUUAAUUAUUUGAAAACAAAAAAAUUAAUGAUUUUUAUUUACUUACCAUCAUGAGCCGUCUUCCGGCAAAAGGAAUCUGGCCAGAAGUGUGCGGGACGUUCUUCCGAUUUCCCGCAUCGUUAGUAGCAUUCCUGAAAAAUAUUUUGAUUAGAAUCUAUUAUAAGAAAAAAAAAUAAUGUAAAUAUUAUUGAAAUUAACUACGACUUACCUAGAUCCGGAACACUUGGCGGCCGUAGUCUGGUUGUGCGGAUCCAACCAGUACUGGACAAGGCCCCGCCAGACGGUAUUGGACAUAGGCGCCGGCUUGGCCUUGUCGCCGUCGACCUCCCACUUCCGUUUCCAGUCGGAAACGGUGUUGUUGAGGCGGAAUUUGACCUUCUCUUUGAAGGCCGUCUCCACACGUCCGUGUGCGGAUGUUUCCCAAUGCCAGUUUUGCUAGGAAAAAAAAGAAGUUAGUAAUUAUUGUAAAAAGUUAAAAUCUAAAAUUAAAAUUAAAGGAAAUGGGUAAAUUACUUACCGCAAAACACUUGAACCAAGUGUCAAGUGUGGCCUGAUCCAGCUUCUUCCAGCUGGUAUGGGGUUGUACGAAAAAUCCCUUGAUGAUAUCCGCAACGUUACGACCGACUGCAUUGUCGGUCGUAAACCUAGUCAAAUGGAAAGAGCAAAAGUUAAUUAAUAUCAAAUAUAUAAGAAUAAAUAUUAAUUAAUUUAAAAAUAUUAUAGGCAAAAAAUAACGUACCAAAAGGUGCCGGGGGCUCGAUCCGGGUCGAGUUUGUUCAUGGUCUCACGACCGGGUUGCGCCAGAAGAUCCUGUACCGUAAACAGGGCAUACGGUACAGGCGGAUCGGAUCAGCCUCAGGCUCGGCCUGUGCGGGAGCCGCUGGUUCGGCUGGUGGUGGUGGAGGCGGUGCUGGCUGCGGAACAACGACCGGUUGGGAAACCGUCCGUUGUGUUCCCGAGGACUCCGGGAUGGCUGAUCCGGUCGCCGAGGUAGACGGGGCCGUACCGUCAGAAUCGACGAGCUGUCGGUAGUGAAAUCUCUUAGCCCGAGGAGCCAUCGAGACAGAAUCUACAAAAUUUAAAAAAAUUUGUUACUAAUUUUUCAAAUAUUUAUUAAAAUUUACAAAAUCCAGGACUAUCUAAAUUCCGAAACCUAAAUUUAAAUUCCGAACCUAAAUCUAAAUUCCGAACCUAAAUCUAAAAUAAUAUGUAAUGAAAUUAUUUAAAAAAAAAACUUACAAUUAAUUGGUCGGGAGAGUAGGGAGUGAGGGAGAGAUUUAGUUUUUUAGAGAGAGAGAGAUUUAUAGAGAGAGAGGGGGAAGAGAGGAAUGAGCGACGAAAGGGAAAAACUCGCGUCCCUUAUAUAGAUUUUGUGAUCGUCGUAAAAUCGUCGUAACUUUACGACGGUUUUACGACGAUUUGGUUGUAUAACAAUCGGUCCAUUGCAGGACACGACACGUGUCGUGAUGUGAUCGUCGUAAAAUCCUCGUAACUUUACGACGGUUUCACGACGAUUAAACCCAAAACCGUCGUAAAAUCGUCGUAACGUCUAAACAUUUAUAACCUCGUACCUCGGAUCAAGAGCCUAUCUGGUGCAAACGGUACGACGGUUUUACGACGGUUUUGGGUAUAAUCGUCGUAAAACCGUCGUAAAUUUACGAUUAUAUUACGACGGUUUUACAAUGUUUUUUAAAAAAGUGAGUAAACCCUAAAUCUUAUAAAUGGGGUAUUGCAUAAAUAACAAUGCAAAGGUUAUUGUAUCCUAUCAUAUAAUAAAAGGUUUACAACUUUGCAUGUAUGAUGGAUUUAUGACAUGAGAUAGUAAAAAAUGAAAUUCCAUAAUCUAAUAUAUAACCUUUCACUUAACAUUUUCGAAAACAUGCAUGAACUUGUAAAUAUGUAUGUUUUUUUUCAAAUUUUUUAUUUUGAUCAGAUUGAUAGCAUUUCAUAUAAAAUAAGAUAACCAAUAAAAAACAAAUGUGAAAUACCUUACAACCAAUAAGAUAUAAAAGAUUCAAAUUCUUGGAUUUCAACAUUACGACGCUUUUACGACGAAAUAGUGUAUUCGUCGUAAAACCGUCGUAACUUUAUGACGAUUUUACGAUGGUUCGUCGUAAAGACGUCGUAAUGUUGAAACCCUAUUCAUUCAGGGCUAAAAACCUAGACUUAGGGUUUAGGGUUUAGAAAAACCGUCGUAAAACCGUCGUAAAAUUGAAUUUUAUGGUUUUUAAAAAAUUCAAACAAACAAAGUUACAAAUUACAUAAUAACAAACAUUCACUAAAUACAAUGCAUGAAACUCAAUCAGAUUCAUCUUCCUCUAUUACUUCAUCACCAUCACCGUCUUCUUCCGCCAAAUCAUCAUCAUCGGUUUCAGCAAACUCAUCAUCACCUUCUUCUUCUGUAUCAUCAGGAAGAUCUUCAAGUUGCCUGUUCCGAGGGUCUAUUAAGAAAAUAUCCUCAUCAACAUCUGGUUCAGACAGAUCUACGCAAGUGUGCUGUCAACGCCCCAUCUGAAUCUUUACGCAUAUACAUCCAACUUUUUAGCUCGUAUAUAGACAUCUUGAAAAUAAACUCAAAAUACUAUCUCUUUUUAUUGAUUAGACAAUAAAGGAGGUGGUCUCUUGUGUCACGUCUAACCACGUGAAUGAAGUAAAUUAACCUUAUAAUAUUAUUACUUCUUUGAUUCAAAGUAAUAUAACUCUUAAUUCGGGUUUUCAGCAAUGGACGACCCAAUAUAUAAGGAUUUACAACACUAUACUAAAAUUUAAGAGACCUACAAUGGGUCUCCAAGAUGAAGAUGCUCUUAUGUUUGAAUGAUGAUGUGUUGUGAUUGAAUGAAGGAAUGAAGAUCUAUUUAUAGGAAAAUUUUGGGCUUUACAACGCUUUUACGACGGUUUUACAUUCAACAAUAAUAUUACGACGAGUUUACGACGAUUUUGCGAUAAAAUUUUUCAUCUACAAUUGUUAAGUAAACAUGUUUUAAAUGUUUUUCACCUAACUCCUUUUUCGACGUACAAUCGUCGUAAUAUGUACAUCGAAAUGUAGUCGUCGUAUAUUCGUCGUAAUUUUGCUACGAAUUUACGACGAUUUUACAUUUACUAGCAAAUCUCUCAUUAUCGAUGUAUAAUCGUCGUAAUUCGUCGUAAAUUGUACGUCGAGUUUACGACGAUUUUUAUAUACGACGGUUUUACGACGGUUUUUAAAUUAGACGUAAGAUCGUUGUAAAAUCGUUGUAAAUUUGCGACGAUUUAAAAACCGUCGUAAUGAACCGUUGGAAAACGAUUGUUUUCUUGUAGUGAAAUAAGAAAACUACAAUUUUUUAUGUUGGUUUAGGUGGGUCAGCCAAUGAAGAAAGGAAAAGUAAUCUGCCAAUAAUAAUCGGUGUUGGAAUCGCGGUAGCGAUUCUUCUUAUCAUCGCAUGUGUGGUCAUUGCUAUUCUCUUGGCGAAUCGUCACAGAGCUAGACUGCAAGCGUUGGCAUUGCCUACGUCCACAGGUAUAGAUAUUGAGCCUUUUGAUGUGGUUUGUGUGAUUUGUGUAUAUAAUGAUUACAUCUGAUCCAUUUGUUCUAAAGAUAUAUGAAAUUAAUUUGUUAUUGAAUAAUCUCUAUGUACUCUAGAGAUGUGACGUUUUAAAUGUUUAACGACAGUGACUAAUUUGGGGACCGGAGCAUCCCCUCUAGACGGACAACAAAUGGGGAACGACUCAAACCAGCCUACAAUUAAUGCGGACAUGCGAUCGGCGACCUAAUUGGAGUGAACCAAUCAUAUGUAGCGCAAUGACACUGAACAUCAUGUGAAAUGUAUGUUUUUGCUUUCCAUUAUAUGUGUUUCCAAUUAUUUUUUUUCGGUUUCAAUUUGCAAUUUCUUUUAUUCUUCUAGUCCUCAAUCGUGUUGUAAAUUAUUUAUUUCGGUUGAGACUUGAGAGAUAAACAAUUUAUUCUUCUAGUCCUCAUCGGCUUUUGAUAUUGUGUUGGACGCAUCUAUUUUGUCGUUGGAGCAUGGAUUUCAUUUUAGAUCUAUAGUUGAAACUAAUAAGUCUACUAGUUUAGUUUAUGGAAAACCAUAAAAGCUUAUGACGAACUUGCGUGUGGUGAUACACAGGUAACAGGUCCAUGACUCAGGACGUAAAUUCGCUACAAACUCUUGUAUGAUUCUACAGUUACAUAUGAUUGCAAAGGCAGGUCGAAAUAGUAUAAAAGUAAAACUAAAAAAAAGUAACAUAAUUGUAAAUAAAAUAAUAAAAAGGGAGAUAAUGAAGAAAAAGUUAAAAAAUCAUUUUUAUAUAGUUUUUUUAAUCAACUAGGUGGCUGGUCCGCGCCCUGCACGAACUGAUGUUCUUCAAAAGUUUUUUUUGGUUUGAACAGUUUUUAGUGUUUUAAAAUUAAUAUUCUAACCAUAUUUCGAAAGUUUGUUGAGUUUAAAGUGUAAGAAUCAAACCAUAAUUUGUAUAACGUUAAAUAUAUAUACUUAAAAAAGCAUAUUAUAACAACUGAUCAAUUACUAAUUUUUUAGUUCAAACAAACAGAGCUAUUCAAAACGUUAUCAUAGUCAACACUAAUUCAUAAUAUAAGAAGAUCCAAAAGAUAAAUCAGUUUAAUAUAACAAAAUUUAAAAGAUAAAACAGUUUAAAAAUACCAAUGACCAUCAAAUUUUCAUAACUAAUAUCCAAUGUAAUUUAAACAUACUUUUAGUAGCAAACAAAACAAAUUAUUCAAACCAACCGCGAAUUACGAUAAAUGUUUUCAAACACGUCUUUGUAAACAACAUUCACUGUCUUCUUUGGGCUUUGCCAUUCUUAUCUGUAAUAAGAAUCUUCAACCCUUGGCGUGAUGUAACUCUAGACACGGCGACAUAAAGUUGACCAUGCGAGAACACUGGCUUUGGCAAAUAUAAUCCCACCUUUUGUAGAGUCUGACCCUGGCUUUUGUUUAUAGUCAUAGCAAAAGCUAUAGUAAUUGGAAACUGCCUCCGGCGCAUUCUAAAAGGAAACCUUGCUUCUGGUGGUGACACAAACAUUCUAGGUAUGAUAACCUUUUUUCCUAUUUUCUUCCCGGUUAUAUGGCUUACCUCGAUUACAUGCCUAGCUAACCGAGUAAUAAGCAACCUCGUACCAUUACACAAACCACCCUUUGGAUCAAUAUUUCUAAGCAACAUUAUUGGAGCUCCUAUCUUUAACUUGAGAGAAUGAUUUGGCAGUCCUGAUACCUUUAUACUAUUAAGAUACUCCUGUGUAUAGACGACUUCGUCUAUUUUGCUUGUGUCUGAAGUAUCAAUGCUAUCGGCACUAAGGUAUUCAUGUUCCUCACCUAAUAAAAACAAUUCAAACUAUGUAGUACUGAUAUAUUUUAUAAUAUAAAUACGUAUUAAAAGGAAAUGUGAGAAAUCAUAUAACGAAGACCUUUGAGUUCUGAUAGCAUGAAUUCAUUGAUAACGUCGACAUCCUGAUUCCGUGGACUGAGUAUUGCCCUUUCUUGAAAAAAAACUGGUUCACGGGUGGUUGUGUAAGAUUGACCAUAAAUCUCCGAGACUAUUCUCUUAACAGGAUCACCUUCUCCGCCUAUCAGCAAAUCCGCUGGAAUUUCUAAUUCAUCUUCUAUGGUAUCAUGGAUAUUUAGUUUUCCAUCACCAAUAUCCAAGAUCCACUUGGCGAAUUCUUCAAUCUCUUUAUUAUUGAAAUCAUUAUCGCCACGAAGCAAUCUCAUAUUUGUCUUUAGCUGCAGAACUUUGCAAUCAGACCAAAUAAUAGAAGAAUUCACAGUUGCCAAUAUAGUCUCUGAGCUGUUGCCUCCGACAAUAACAGGGAGUAUUUGUCGAAAGUCACCACCCAAAACAACGACCUUUCCACCAAAUACCUUAUCACACUUUAAUAUAUCACGCAUAGUCCGAUCCAAUGUCUCAAAACAAUGCUUGCUCAUCAUCGGAGCCUCAUCCCAUAUAAUAAGAUCGGCUGCUUCAAUCAACUCUGCUUGGUGUGAUCCAGAACUCACAUUACAGAAUGUAUACUCGUUCACAACUAUGGGUAUUCCAAACCGAGAAUGCGCUGUUCUUCCUCCCUCUAAUAACAAUGCUGCAAUGCCACUUGAUGCAACAUUGAGAACUAUUUUCCAAGAAAUCACGCCUUUUCUGAUAUAAGAAAUCCUCAGUUAAUAUUUUCCAAGUAGCAUUCCAGACGUUGAUCGGAACUGCUACACUACUCGAGAAAAGCAUUAUAGCAAAAAGUUUACGAAGAAACUUUCCAGUUCCCCAAAAACUGGCCUCUUUAAUUCCUUCGAUGUAUUCUUUAUCAUCGUCUAACAAACCAAUCGCAAAGCAUGCUUCUCGGAAAGAAGAGUAUAUAAAACCAUUAACUUUUUUUAAAUCAUCAAAACUCUCAGGGCCCUUUACUAUAUUGAGAAGAAUCCUCAAAUGAUAUGCGUCUUCAACGGAAGGUGAGACAUACACCAGCCUGCCUAUGGCAAAACCUUGUUGUCGUAUUCUCCAUUGCCGCUGUUUUGAGACCCAGACGAAUUUUGUUGGGAAAUCAGCAUAUGUUAGCGUCUUUGCCAAGGCAUGUUCCUUGUUUGCCUCCAUCCACGCUAGAAAUUGUGACUGACCUACCGAUGCCUUGUUUAAGACUUGGUCAGCGCUCUCUCUUUCGUGAUAUAUACACAUUUGUUUUCCAGGCAAAUGAAACGAAAGUUGCAUUACUGCCGUGGUUCGGUACUGUGUAGGAAUCUUUAGAAGCCUCCAUGAAGAUUCAUACGAUGAAAUGUAUCUAAGAAUGAGCAAAUUAAAUAGAGAUAAAUAAUCUUGUUUUUUAUUAAACAGAGAUAAAUAAUCUUUUUUAAAAAAAAAUUAUACUUAAGUAGUUAUUCAAGCGAUCCAAUCUUAAAAAUUAGUUUCGGAAAGUUACCUGCAAUUGUAAUGUUGCUCAACCUCAUCUUGGGAUAUAACGGGGUUACCGUCUUCAUCCUCGAUUGCUGCUCUAAUGUAAUAUGGACCCUUGUUUAUAUAUUUGAAUAUGUACUUUAUAGACCUGGUUUGGUUGCACCACUCAACGUUAACAUGUGCCCGAAAACGCUUUAAGAGAUCUGGAUUAUAUGGGACAACAUAUCGGUUAUCACACAAAACACCCCUCUUGAUAAUGGUUCUUUGAUCCAUACGACGCCUAUAGAUGGAAAAGCCAGCAUCAUCGAUUUUAGUAACUGAUCCAGUAGGCUUAGGAAAGAAUUUUGUACACCUUUUCUCAUGCAUACAAACAUUUUUUGGAUUGCCGUCACCGCAUGGUCCUUGUAUCAUCAAGUCUCCAACAAUUUCGUACAAAAUUGGAUCCAAGUCCUUAUCCGGUAUCUCCGCUGAUAUAAAUCUAUCUAUGUCCUCGCCUGUUGGUAGUUUGGAUUCGGGUUUCAAGAAAACAACCAUGUGGGCAUGUGGCAAUCCUCUUUUUUGGAAUUCAAUGGUAUACAUCGCUAAAAUAAAAGCAAAACUAUUAGAAAAGUUUAAAAUACAUGUAAUAAAUCGAAUUAGUACCUAUACUUUAAGUAUAACUUGGCAUGAUUUAUAUAUUAUGACUCUUUACUUAUAUUUAAUCUUUUUGACAUACCUGAGUUAACGUGUCCCAUAACGUGGUCUUUCGUUAGAUAAUUCACUAAAUUAUCCAGCUUCAUUUUAAAAAUCCUGCAACAAAUAUCUGGUCGAUCCUCGAUCUUUAGAUCAUGUUUUUCCAAAAACCUCGUUAUCUCAGGCCACUUUGGAUUGCAAGUAAUUGUUAUGAAAAAAUCCGGGUAGCCGUAGUACUUCCAUGUUGCCAUCGCGUCUAGAUAAUGUUUCCUCAUGAAUCUCUUACUUCCCGUGAAUGAAGCAGGUAUAAGCACCUUUUUUCCUUGUCCAGAAAGAUCAUUAUUGCCACGUUCACCAGAUUGUUCAAUCUUAUCAAAGCUGUCACAGCGUAGAUUCUUUUGAUUAUGCCAUAUAUAACGAAGCCUAUUUGAUUCUACCAUCGUAUAUGCGUCAACCAGAAAUUGCUGAUACAAUCUCCCAGACAUCAUAAUGAUUGGGGAUUCUCCAUGCCUGUCUUGAAGACGAAAUGCGAAAAACUCGCGCAUUGUCACGGUUGUGCGUUUCCUUCCAGAUGUAUCAACAUAGCCAAUAUCAAUACCUAAUCUAAAACCAUCUUCACCAUACAGAAACAAUAACGGAUACUGCAAAGGUAAAUAAGCCGGAUGCAACUCACUUAUACGGUAUAAACCUCCAGACUUGCUUUGAAUAACGAUGUCUCUUUUUUCUGUUAACAUAUUGAAAUCACCAGGUAUCAAAGCCGCCACAUCGUUCUCAGUAGGUAAGUUAUGCGUUCGACCAUCAGUAGUUCGGCCACUUGCAAGAACCAACUUAAAACCUUUAGAAUUUUGAUUCCCAACAAAUCGUUCGCGUGCAGUUCUUAAGGCUUUGACAUGAGGAUUAUGAUCAUCUAACAUCUUCUUCAGAAGCUCCACGAUAUCUGCUCUCAGCUUCCUCGAAUUACCAACAUCUCUGAACAGUGGUUUUGAAACUAUUAUUAGUUAUAAAAAUGAAACACUAUAUUGAUAUAGAUAAAUAAUAAUAUUAUAUUAUAUAUAAAAAUCGAAGAUUACCCAUAAGCAUUCAUCCUAUUUUUCACUUCAUUGAUGGUAUCAUGGAUAUAUAAUUGUAGGAAGUUUGGUUGUUUGCCAGGUGCUGGUAACAUAUCUCCGAUCAAAUGAUAAUUUUCACCACACAUUUGGAAUAGAUACGGACCAUUACCGUUGUUUACAGUAUUAUCAACCUUUCCACCAAGUGACGUAAACGAAAACAUCAUAUUGUAUGCUCUUAUGAAUUCACGGAAGUGCUUCCUCGUAUUAUCGCGAUUAUACAAUAGCUUUAACAGCGUUUUUGGGGGAGCUUUCAAUAAAGGUAGCUGAACUUUGCCACUUAGACAGCACAUUGUGAAAACUGGAGUAGAAGAUAGAGAGUGCUUGUUUAUACGUUCUCCAAACCACAUUAAAGCAUGACAAUAGUCACACAUGUAAGAUUGAUCACCAUCAUCAUAAUAACCUACAAUUGAUUUUAAAAUUUUAAAAUAUAAUAACUUUUAUAUACUAAUAAAAGGGAAUUGGUUUCGAUUUGUACCACUUUCCAUCAAGCCAAAAUUCGCGAAUGAAUUAUAUUCCAGAUAAUUCGGUGGUCUAGGUUUUUUUUGUCUUGGUCGUCGUUUGUUCGAAUUACUUGGCGUAACAGCAUCUGAAUCUUUAUCAUCGUUCGUGUCUGAAUCAGUAGCGACAAAACAUAGAACAUCAUCGACAUCAACAGACUCUGUCAAUAUAUCUAUAAAUUUACACAAUCAGAUGAAGUUAGUUACAUAUAUUUAAUAUAAAUCAAUAUAAAAUUGUAUUUAAUCAACAUAACCUUUUGAAAUAUUUAUUGUUGGUAAACCACGCUUCGAUCGAAUGAUAUUCAGUCUAUUUUGUCUGGCUAUUUUAGCCAUACCAACACGUCCAAUAGAUUCUAUAUCAAUGUAUUGAUGAUAAACUGAUUUUGGUAACGUUGGUGCAUACGUUUCAGCCCUUGAAACGAUUGCUGUAUUAAGGAUGAAAGAUGUUCAGUGGGAUAUCAAAAGUAACAAUACAUGCAAUUUUUUCAAAGAAACAGAAACACUUACGACGAUUUGCAACAGGUAUCUUAACGACCCUAGGUUUCGUUAUUCUCUUUUUCUUUGGCCCCAUAGUUUUUGAUUAGGUUUUCUUUUUCUUUUUUGUACGAUAUUACAAUACGUGCAUGAGAAACACUAUUUAAACAUAUGUAGGGUUUUCCUAUAAUUUGUAGGUUUUCAUUUUUUAUUUAUUGAAACAAACCUAAUUUAACAUUUUAGUUUUGUCCUUUUUUUUGAGUUUAAUUUUAUAGAAUAUUUAAUAUUAAUAGAAUAAUCGAUAUCUUAGAUACUUUAACGAUUUCAUGUGUUAAUUUAUGAAACUAUGAUAAUAUUAAAAUAUAAAAUUGCAUAUAUGCACAAACUGUAAUAUUCCACAAUAAAGUAAAUUGUGUUACUACGCAAUUUAUAUAGAGAGUUAAGUACUUGUUUUGAAUUUUUCGUUCUUUGAAUCAAUAAUGCAUCCUAAAAAAACAAACCAUAAAUUCGAAUAUGCAUAAAUAUCAGUACUAAAGUAUAUGAAAAAAAAAAAAAAAAAAAACAACAUCGAGAAUUAUAAGAAUAUCAGUUCGAAGAUUUCAAAACGUAUGUGUUUAUUCAUUGCCGUCUUCCUCUCUUCUUGCUAUUACUUUUUUCGUCAACAUUAGGCGUUUGAACGGCUGAUUCUGAAACUCGUUUUGAUACUGGCGAUGGUGUCAGUGAUGCAACUCUACCUGAGUACCUAAGUUCUAAAUCAUGUUCGAGGGAUCGAAUUCCAUGAUUUUCAAACUUAUUCAACAUAUCUGCAUCAUCGACAACGAUCUCAAAUUUAUAAGUUUGACGUCUGUUAGUCAGAUUCUCCGUUCCUAUUCCGAUUUUGAAAAGGAGCUUCUUCCCAACCAAAUCAGAAAGAGCUCAUGGAAGCACCAAAGUUCUGUCCUGAUCAAAAUAUAAAAAGACAUUACAAAGUAUAUGAUAAUGUGCACAAAGUAUUAUAAAAUGAUAUACCUCAGCAACCUCCUCAGCUAAAGUAUCUGCUUGAACACGGAGAAAUGCGCUAGCGAUUUUAUCAAACAGUAAGAAUCUUAUCUCUUCGCCAGACUCGUCGGAAACAACCAACACUAACUUAUACCUACGAAAAUAUGAAUAUUUGUAAAGCCAAAAAUUAAAUUUUUUCUAAUAACUACUUUGAAUCAAUGAACCAUUUACCUGGCUGUAACAUCUGAGACAGCCUCGCCACAUUCUCUACAAUCAAAUAGCAAGGAAUCGUCAUCAGUAGAAUCAGAUUCUAUUGGAUGAACUGUUUUAUCGCAAGUUUUGCAUGUAAUAUAAUACCAUAUAAGAUUAUAUUCGACUCGAACAACUGUCGCAGCAGUAACACAUUUCAUUUCCUACACUCGAAAAGAAUUUGAUUUAAAUAUAAAAAAACAGAUCAUUCUCAAAUAUAUAAAACAAAUAAUUAUUAUGUAUAAAUUUAAAAUAAACUUAAUGAACACGUACCGUAUCAGCAUAAACAAUACCCUGAAUUGUCUUUCUUUCAUUUCUAUCAAAGAAUUCAUCUUUCCAUGAAACAGAAUUAGUGGAUGAUGAUUGCACCUUAUGUUCAUUGGAUAUCACAAAUGUAUUGGUUGGCAACCUAACAAAAGACAUUCCUUUUAGUAUUCAUGAUAGCUCUAAAAGUAUACACAAACAAACAGAUUUCAUUACUUACAAGGCUCGAAAAUCUUCAAUUUGUUUAAAAUGUGGAUCGAGAAAUAUCUGUAUUGCGUUGAAAGAGUUUGAAAUACUGUAAACUCCUACAAGAAAUUAGAAGUAAAGUAUUUAAAAUUUAUAAAAAAGCGUAUAUGAUAAACUUAUUUAUAUCACAACUAUUAUCAAUACAAUUAAGUUCAAAUAUACCUUUCCAUUCUGAUACUGAAGCAAAUCUAACAACACACACGAUCACAGACGCAGUAUUUUUCGUCACGUAGUCGAUUACUUUCUUUCCGAAAUUUCCCCACAGCGUACAAGUCAAGCAAUUAUCACUAUACGUAAUCAACAAACUAACUAAAUUAUAUAUGAUUUGACUAAAUAUUAUUUCAUAAAUUAUAUCAUUAUGAACUCACCUGGCAUUACGUAGAACAACGUCCAACUUUCUUAUUGGUUUUCCUUGAGCGAUAACGUCAGAAGUUUCAAGACUAACAACCUGCCCUAUGACAUCUACAUUAAUAUUUAUAAAGAAUUAGUACAGAUAAGAUGUAUUAUAUCACAGUAUAACUCGAUAAAUAUAGUAAACAACAUAUAUCUAGCAUACCUAUUAAAACACUGUUGUCAUAAUCCCCAUUACUUAUAGUUGAAAAUUCCUUAAAAUAUCUAUAAGGAAGUUCCCUAGGAAAGUCAUCACAAGGUGUUAUAACAGUAGUCCUGUAGAAACUUAUUUUAAAAGAUAAAGGACUUGUCCUAUAUGCAGUAGUGUAAUCUUUGAACGUGAAGUUGCUUAAGAAUAUAGUACGGCCUUCCGUCAAUUCUGAAUUAAAUUGCUCCACCAAAUCUCCAUCAACAGUUGCAUAAUCCUAGAACCCUGAUAUAGUCAAAAACUUAAUUAAUAUUUAAGUUAUUCAUAUCAUAAUUUUACUAUACGAUGCAUGUUCAUAUAUAUAGAUAUAAAACACUAACAUUGCCUACCACUUCAUCUGCUAAUACCAUCUCUAUGGAUGUAACCUUAUUUUUACGAUAUGAUUUCCAGAGAUUGAUUAUCUGAAACUUUAUCUUGUAACGAUCACUCGUUCUAUCAAUUUCGUCUAUCAGUGCAGAGACGAUUGUUUUCCGCUUGAGAUAGGACUUCACAACUUUCUUAGUGUCAACACUAUUAUCUAUUGACGACUCCAUCUUCUUCUUUUUCCCGAAAAUUCUUGAACCGAUUUAAUGAGGAAGAUUAAUCAGUCGUACAUAAAUAAAUAUAUAUAUAUAGAUAUAUAUAUAUAUAUAUAUAUAUAUAUAGGAAUUGAUAAAAACCCUAGGUCUUUUGGAUCGAUGCAAAUAAAUAGAGUAUCGUAUCUUUUAUUGAUUUCUAUAUAUCGAGUUCAAUUUUAAUACUUAACAUAAUUUAAAUGUAAAUUUUACUUAUUCCAUUUCUCAUAUAAGUAUAUUUGUUAUUUUUAUCCAAAAAUCAGUUGCGUGAAAUUAUGUUUUCAGUCAUUUUAACAUAAACAUAAAAUAAACAUUAUAAUGAUAAUGAAAUUAGCAUCUUUUGUACAUUUUCCUUUUUUAGAAAUAUAUUUCGAACUAUAACCGUAUAUUAUACUUUUGUAAUUUCAUUAAAAUAAUCAUAAUUUCCAUAAUUCAUAAAUUUUUAUUUUUUGUAAAUACUACGAAGAAGGAAAAGACACUCGAGUAUGAUGAGUACAAUCAUUGGCAAUUUUAAUAUAUGUAACAAUAGCGAUAUAUAUGAAUUUCAUUGAGAAUUUCAACUCGGAUAUAAAUAUAUAUACUGUAUAUGCAUGUUUAUGAAAGAUAUAUAUAUAUAUAUAUAUGCACUUUUCCUCCAAGUAGAAAGUGAUAAACUGGUAUUCGCUAUCAAUGCACUUUUCCUCCAGUUGGUCCAAAGUAUAACCUUCCCAGGAAUGAAACUUGCCAACGUUUAUAACACGACCAAUUAUUUCUGAAACGAAAGACAAUAGUAAGCUCAUUAUUGUUUCUUAUACUUAAACAAAAUAUAAAUCAUAUAUCAACAUACUUACCAACUAAAAAGUCGUCACUGUAUGUGCGAUUCAAGAUUACACGGAAGUCGAUAAAAUCAAAAAAAUUCUGUUCGCAAUGAAAACUAUCACCAUCUACGACAGUAUGUGAACCCAAAACUAUUUUAAAACGACGCGAAGUUGUCCUAAAAACACCAUAGACAUGAGCAACCUGGAAACGGCGAAUCUUAAUCCAAUUUACAACAGGAAACUGGUCUUCAAACAAAGCAUAGCAUGCGGUUGGUACAAUGGCAUGUAUUUUAUCACCCUAGCAUAUGAUAUAAAUUGUUAAAGUCUAAUUAUCACAAUAGUAAUAUGUUAAAAAAAUAUUAUAAAUGUAAAUAUAUAAAACUGGACUAUAUAGUAAACAAACCAGGUCAUCACAUAGCACAGCCUCAAGACGCUUUUCAGAUGGGUGCAAACUAUGAGUCCAAACUCUCAAAACUUUAACAUUAAUCUCAAACUCACACGGACCAUCGGUUAGAUGUAUGAAUUUUAUUGGAAACGCUUGAAUCUCUUGAGACACCAUAGCUGUAUUUGAAGAGGAGUCGUUGGAACAUUCAUCACCAUUAUCAAUUUCAGAAUCUGAAGUAAAGAGCCUACGUCGCACGCAAAUGCGUUUAGGGGAGCUUUAACAAAGAUACCAUCCACAAUAUUUUGUGAUGUUCCAUGGAAAUCAUAGUUGAGAUAUAGUCUUUUUCCCAAUGGACGUUUGGGCUGAUGAUCAGCAGAACAUUCGGUUUUCACUGCCGAUGCAUCAUUCCGAAUAUCAUCAACAUCAUCACUCAUGUAUUCUCCAUUUUUCUCAUCAACAUCAUCAUGACUCUCGUCCUCGUCUCCUUCUUCAUCACAACCAUCAGACAAUUCGUUCGUCUCAUCAUAUUCAUCGUCUUCAUUUUCUUCAUCGGUUUCCUCACAAUCAUCACUUUCUUCGUCCUCGUCUUCUUCGUCAAUUCCAUCACUAUCAUCACUAUCAGUACUAUCUUCGUCAUCUUCCUCGUCAUCAUAUUCGUCGCCAUCGUUAUCAUCACUGUCUUCGUCUUCUUCUUCGUCAUCGCAACCAUCAUACCAGUCGUCAUCAUCAUCAUUGUUAUCAGUAUCCGGUUGGUCACUACCGCUAUCAUCACCAUCAUUGCCAUCACCUUUGUUAUCGGUUACAAUGUCGCCAUCACCAAUGUCGUCAGUUCGAUCACCAUCAGUUGGAUCAUCUUUUUUGUAAUUUGAUUCGUCAGGGUCAGCACCAGUAGGACCUUCGUAUAUAUAUAUUUAUACAUUGUUGAUAUAUUAGUCGUCCCUCUAUAUAGAUGUUUAAUAAAUUAUCAACUUGAAGACUGUUCUGAUCAAGAGACUUACCGUUUUGCUCAUGUUCAUUACAAACACCAAUGCUUCUAUUAGCUGAGUCGCUAAUCAUGUCAUGUUCGAAUUCAUUUGGUCCUAUAUCAAACCAAAUUAUGAAUAUAUUUGUAACGUCUAACAGAAAAAGAUAUUACUAUAGGAAUUUUUUACCAAUUUCAUUGAUUAGAUGACAGGGCACAUCCCACAUACCCGACUGAACAUCUGUGCUAUCUCCAUGAGCUGAUUCAGAAUACAAUAUUCCAAACCCAAACACCUUAGAACCCAAUUCGCGAGGCCUACUCCUCUUUCUUAAACCACAAGGUAUUUUGGACGUAUCUAUAAAUAAUAAGACAUAUAUAAUUUAUUUAUCAUUCAAUGAGUUUUUUAUUUAUUUUUUUAAUAUAACACUCAUACCGUGAAUAUGUGGAAUAUUAUACAAUCUUGAAGGAUGUUUAGGGAGACGAUCAUAGGAUUGAUAGAGGCGUAAUCUCUCGAAUGCCGUUUCAAGUGAUGAAGUUCGAUCAACAGUAUUAUGAAGAACUGUAAGAUAAGAAAAAAUUGUAUUUAGAUUUUUAUUCCAAACAUCAUAAGCAAAAACGAACAUGUCUCUUUGCAAGAAUUUAUAGUAUAACAAAAGAUUAACGACAAUGUUUUAAUGGCUUAAAAAUUAAGAUAAAUUUUCACGUAAAAGCAUAAACUUCAGUUUAUUAUAUUAAAAAUAAGCAAAAUAAAAACGAAAACCAUUAAGUUACCAUUGUUAUCAGCAAUAGAGGAUGAAUCAAGCAAGAUGUCACAUGAGAUCUUCGCGUUAUGUGUACCCAUUGUGAUUUAACCCUAAUGAGAAAUCGAGUUAUAAUUAUAAGCUAAUAGAAUGGUUUCUUUUUUUUUAUUAGUUGCCUAGAAGGGUGAGAGAAUUAUCGUAAGCUUACGAUCGUAUAUAAAGCCGUGGUUUUAGGGUUUUAAACGAUUAUAUCUAUGGUGCACAUAUUUUUUCCUUUUUAUUAGUAAAUAAUAAUUCCUAUUAAAGAUAAAUCCUAGAAUAACUAAAAUGUAUAGAUCACGAUUUUAUGUUAAAUUAUUUAAUUUCAAAUAUGUAUAUUUUCUUAUUUGAGUAUAUACAUAUCAGCGAUUAAGAAGAAGUGUUCUAAAUCAAUACAAUUUAUUCACGGAAGUUUUCUUUAUUUAUGAAUAACUACCAAGAACUACAAAAUCGAUGGAGUAAAAUGGCUAUUAUUAAAAUGCAAAUUUUCUCAAUUUACACGGGCAUUUCUAGAAGUACAACUAAUUUAAGAGAUAAUUUUUUAAAGAUAAGUACCGGGUUUUACAGAAAUCAUUAGCACAUAACUAUAUGCGAGUUACAUUUAUAUUUAUCUUUCAUUAAUUUAUUUAAUAAUUAUUAGUUACUACAAUUAUUUGGAAGAAUUAAUUUUCAUUUAUAUAUCAAAAAAUAACAUUAUUUAGUUAUUAUGACUGCGGAUGUGACGAUUAUGUGGUUAAACCUAUUCUGUAAAACAUCUUAAUAUAUAUCUUACAUAAGAAUUUGUAAUAAUUAACAGUAAUGAAUAUAGUUUAAAACACCAUAAUUAUUAUACUGCAAAGCCAGAAUUUAUUACAUAAUAAAAAAAAAGAGGAUAUCACUCCUUUAAAUUCAGAACUUAAUAUAAGAAAUACAGAAAGGUAAUUUUCCAGUGAUUAUGCGUUCCCCGUUGCAGCCGUCUCAGCAUUCUAAUCUUCAUAUUCAUCAUCCAAAGGGGUAAAAUCAACUGAAGUUUCAAGUCUGGAACAAUAUGACAAUAUUAUAAAAUCACAAAAUAGAUGUCAAUAGAAUACAUAUACAGGAUAUAACAUCAAAUAUGUAAUUUAUAUACCUCAUUUUUGCUAUUGCCACUUCUGGAGUAGGAGGAUCCUCGAGAAUAUCAGAUAUGAAUCUUUCCGAUUCAACAAUCCACUCAUCUAAUUACAUAUACAUAUUCAGUAUGCAUGUGGAAACAAUAUAUUAGUUAAACUUCUGAUUAAACGCAUGUGGUUACAAUAAAUUUGUUAAUCUUCUGAUUAAUUUCUGUAUUGGAUAGAUAUUAAUAGUUAAUAUUUACAUACCUCUCCACAUAUUGAAAGAGAAAAAUUGCAAUACAAUAAUGUGUCUUGAAGACUUAUCACGAUUCGUCCACAGUUCUUCAAAUUUUCUUGCCAAGUUAUCCCAAGUACAUUUCAAGGAAUUUCCACUGUAUAUAUUUACACCAACAUAGAAGAUAAUUAACAUAUUUUAAUAUAUAAAGAAAUCCAAGUCUGACAUCAGAUAUUAUGAGGACAAGUUGUAAUUACUCAAGAUCUUCGAGUACAAAACGAAUAAGUGGACGUUCUGUGGGUGUAUCCGAUGUAUCAGACAUAUGAACUCCACUUUGAAGUUUCUGAACAAAAGUGACAAUCUUGAGAACAUCAACUGAAAAAUUAAACAAGUAAGUUUUAAAAAUUCAAUUAUAAGUUAAUGAGAUAAACCAAGAUAAUAACCUGCAUAUAGGAAACUUACCAAGAUAUCAGCCAGUUUGAAUCGACGCAAGCAAAAUAUCUAUGUAUGCACAGAAAGAGUAUAUUUCUCUAGAAGACUUCGGAUCGGUUUUCUCGGUGAUUGUAUCCUCAUUCAAACGUAUAUGACAAAUGUUUGAUGAUAUGCUUGGAUGGGGUAAUCUGUCGGUAACUGCAAAAUUACCAAGAAAAUACCACUUUCCUUCGGGCAAUACAUCCUCGAAUUUGUCAAUUAUUUCAGAUGGCAUGGUACAGAGGAUGCGAUUGUCCUACACAGUUUUAGUAAAAAAGAAUCAAUAAACGAUUACAUUCCCAAAACAUGAACAUGGAUAAAUUUUAAAAAUCAUACAAACUUACAAAUUCAUCAGCGAGAACUAAAUUCCGAUGAGGGUAAUGAAUGUUAGUGAAAUCAUAAUAAUUUCGAACAACUUGGACACAAAUACGUUGCCCGCCGUUUAUCUUCUGAAGUUCAGAAACUCUAUUACAUGGAGCCAUUCAUUUUUUUUUUUGGUUUGGAGAUUAAAAAUGAGACAAAUGAACGUUUUUUUAUAACCCGGGUUUAAUAUACUUUAGAAACGACGGUUUUGCUUUUAAAGACGGGUUUUAAAUACCUAUGCAACGAUUCAGGCUUAAUAUACUUUUGAAACGACGUUUAUGUUUUUAAAGACAGGUUUUAUAUACUUAAACUACGUUUCGCUAAAAAUAACAAAAGUAAAUGACAAUUGAUUCAAAUGUGAAAUUAAGUAAAUAUUUAAGAAACGAUUUGGCAAACUGUCCUUUGAUUGUCCUCAAGCAAAGUGAACAAAUGAGAGAAAAUGUUUAAUGCAUUGGAGUUCAUAUUACUUAGAGAAAGAGUGUAUUACUAUAUGACUUCAAUUCUCAUUUGUCUAAAUACAAUGUUCCAGAUAAAUAGAAUAACCCUAAAACUAAUAAGAAACAAUGUCUAUAAAUUAUAAUAGUAAAUAUUGAAACAUUAUAGUAUAUUACAAAAAAACGAAAACCUGCAAGCUUUAAAUUCAGAUGAUACAGCCUUAUUAAUUUUAAAUAUUUCGGAUCUUCGUAAUAGAAGAUCUUGGUAAAUCAUACUUGAAACCACAAUCCUUAAUUGUUUUCGGUUCAUUAGUCCAAAAUCGAAUAAUUACAAAUUUAUAAAUAAAUAAACGUUAGAAUAGUUAUAUAAUUUUUGGGUAAUAAUAUUUGAAUAUUCGUAUGUUUUUACAAUUUGCUAGUGUAACAUGCAAGGGUCUAUCAACUGAUAGAAUAUUACUUUUCAAUGCAGAAUAAAGCAAAUCAAUCUGUAAUAAUUUUUGCAUGAAAUAACUUUGACAGGGGAAUCUAAUUAUUUAUAAUCUUUGGCAAGUUCAACUGACAUAAUUAUACCGCCUGAAAAGUAACACUGUGAUAUGCACUAUUUAUAAUUUUAUGAUUAUUCAUUCAUACAAUAAUAUUUUGAUUUAUCUGUAUGUAUUUUUUCUUUCAACGUUGUUUGUAACCACGUAAUAACAACGUUGAUAUCAACAUUUCCGGUGAUUUCGUUCUUAGUGUUUCGCACAAAUCUGAUCAAUGUCAUAGCCAACAUUGAGAUAUUAUGUAAAUUUUUUUUAAUAACUAAACACUAAACAAAGCCUAGAUUCUAACCUAAAAAAAUGUGUUUAAUUAUUCUGUUAAUAAGAAUAAUGAAAAACUCUUUUAUACGCGUGUUUAAGGAUGUAGUCUUUAGGAUUUUAAACUAAUAAUCUUGGUACGUGUGAGUUUAAUAAUUUUAAAUAGUUACUAAUAAUUUUUCAAAGCGCUAAACCUUAAAGAUGAGUAAAAUGUAUAGUUUACAAUUAUUUCCUAAAUGGCUAAAUAUUGAAAUUUUAAAAUUUUAUUAUUUGCGUGUAAAUAUGUGACCAUUUUGGGUAAAUAGAAUUCCAGUCAAUAUUUUUGGCACAUACGUUUACUUUUCUAUUUUGUAUAACUACCAAUAACUACUAAAUUUCUAGAUUUUCAUAUGUACUAUUUCUUCAUAUUAAAAAUAUGUGAUUUAUUUAGAUUCACAUUUUUUAUGACUAUACAAGUAUGUAAGAUUUAUAAGAUAAAAUCUUCUAAGGUUACAGAAAAUAUGAUAGAGAUAUAUAUGAAACUUUCAAAUUAAUGUAUAUCUGGUUUAACUAUUAAUUAUUAUGAAUACGAAUGUAGUGUAUAUAUGGUUUAACUAUUUUUUUCUAAAGUUAACUAAUCAGAUAUUUUAGAGCAGAUUAUAUAAAUAACAGCAAUUAAAGUUUUUAGAUUAAAAACAACAUAAUUAUUUAAACGCAGUACCGAGUUUAAGUUAAAACAUAACUAAGCAUAGUAACGAUAACAUCACGCCAUUAAGUCUUAAAUAUAUGAUAAGAGAAAUACGAAAACGAUAAACUAAUAGAACCGCCAUUUAUGCAAGUCACAUUCCAUGGUUUCCUGCAUCCUCCAUUCUCUUCUUUAUCCUUUCCCAAAUCCUAUCCAUUAUAUUUAUAUAUAAGUAUAAUAUUAGUUAAAUAAACGAAAUUUUAAGUAACCAAAAGUUUCUUAUACUUACUUCCUACGGUAGAUGAGAACCUCGUCAAUAGGUGGAGUAACAAAGAAACGUGAGAACCCAAUAUUCUCAUGAUCAUGGAUGGUUAUUUCAUCUAAAAUAAAAGUCAAGUGAAGAAAUCAGAAUACAAAUAUUUCUACGUUUAAUUAUUUAGGUUAUUUGCAUGAUAUAAAACCUCAUUAAAAUUUAUAGAUCACAUACCUUGAUAUUUGUUGACGACCCAAUCUGUCAAUACACAAAUCGCAACCGGACCAUCUACGCCUACAAUCUGGUUCUUGAUAUCAACAGCGAAAUCACCAUGAGCCAAGAAUUUAACAGUCCAAACCUUUUUCAAAAUUAAAAUUAAUAAUUAUUUUUCUCUUUAUUUAUCAUAAUUUAUAUGAGUCAAACUUAAAAUAUUCUUACUCAAGAUUCUUGAUAGUGAACUUCAGCGUUUUUUCAGUAUUUCCAUUUGAGGACUCAGAUGUUAAGAGUUCACCAACAUUUACCAACACUCCAAUAAGAUCUGCAAAAAAUAAAGUACUUUGUUAGCCAUGCAUGGAUAAAAUAAAAUAAAUUUAAAACAACUAAACUAUUGUAAAACAUUUAUCGGGUUUCGGUUUUUAAAGAGUGUAAAUCAAAAUCAUACCGACUGGGUACAAGUGAUUAUAGGGACAUUUAUAAAUCUCAUCAAAAUCAACGAAAUUCAUGAAGGGAUCUUCAGACAAUGGCCUGAUCCGUGAAGCCUUGGUCUCCGAGUUGAGAGUGAUCUGGGAUUUGUGUUUAGUAACUCUUUCCUUCCUUUCCCAAUCCGACCGAAUCAAGCCGAAAUUGGUCAGUCUUACCCAUCCUUCUUCAGGGCAAACCCUCUCGAAGUACUCAUAACACGUAGCACCACAAGUACCAUAAAUUCUAGAGCCCUGAAUUAUAAACAAAUAUAAUGUCAAUCGCAUUAUAUAACAUGUUAAAGUACAAUAAAAACAUAUAUGUUAUCACGAGCUUACAUGCUCAUCAACGAAAACGAAUGCUAAGCCUGGAUUCCCGUUUUGAUGAACAAUAAACCAUCGCCUCAAGACCUUGACGCCAAUGUUCCAGUCGGUCCUCCAUGCAUGCAAAUCACGAACUGCAUCAUAUGAAUCCAUCACAAAGGAUAAGGACUUGGAUUUUUUUGUGUUUUUUUUUUCUUUUCUUUGGGUUGAUAUGUUUAUUUGAAGAACAACUAUUCUUCUUGUUAAGAUAAUAUAUAUAUAUAUAGGGAAUGAACGAAAUAAGUAAGUAGGUAGAUUCAAUGAAUUUUGUCAAUGGAUUAUGUAUAUUUGCAACUUUUCAGAACAUACUGUUUAAAUUUUUAUGUAAAGUUGCGACUUUUCAAAAAAAUAAUUACUGAUUCAAAGACUUAUAUGAAUCAUGCAUUGGUCUAUCAAUCACUGAUGUAGUCUGAAUAUUCCCAGUAGCAUGCAUUGGUGUUUUUUUUUUCAAACUUUAAUUUGAUAUAUGUAUAUUAUGUAUUUACUUAAACAGCGAAACCAAGAAAAUUCAAUAUUAGAGAGAUAAUACCAAACUUUACAUAAAUAUCUACUUGAAUAAUGAUAAAUUUACAUAUUCAAGAUCCAUUUAGUAUCUAAAUUAAAGAAAAUCGUACUUAAACAAAAAUAAGAAUAAAUCGUACAUAUUCAACGAUAUCCAUUUAAAUUAGUGGGAAAUUUUCUAUAUUUUAUUAAAAUGUUAUGAUAUUUCCAUAUAGACACGCUAAUACAUGAAUUCAGAAGUUAAAUUAUGUUAUAUUAACAAUCUUCCAAUUAUACACAAUAGUUUUUAAAAAAAAAUAAAUACAUACAUUUUUUAGGUCAUACUUUUUAAUGUAUAAUAAUUACCAAAUAUAUUUAUUAUAAAUGUUUUUGUUAAUGAAAAUUAGAAUAAAACAGUUCGUACGAAUCAUAUUUAGAUAUAAGGAUUCUGAGUGAACCAAUUCUAUUUUAAUAUUAAACGAUAAAUACCCAAAAAGAUAUUGUUUUAAUCAACUAAUAUGAAUAACAUGUUAGCUAAUAAUAAAAAUUGGGAAAAACACACUUUAAACCAUAGAUAUAUUUUAAUCCAACCAUGAAUAUUUUAUCUUAGACAUUGAUAAACAUAAAAACUCGUGAUUUUGGAGGCUUGCAGCAAAGUAUUCUUGAACAGAUUCACCACAAUCCAUUAAGCAUAUCCCAUCAUAAAGGAGCCUAUUGGAAAUAUUUAUUAAUAAAAUAAGAAAUAAUUUAUUGAUAAACAAUGCUAAUAAUAUAAUAAGUAAAUAAGUUUUAUACCUCGUUCUGAGAGCAGCAACAGAGUGAAAUUUCUGGUUUAAAAAAAACUUAGACGCAGGAGUAACUGACAAUGUUACAGAACCAUUUCUGAUAAUGCCCAAUACACUUGUACUGAUCAAGACAAUAUUAGUAUUAUUGUAAAUUCUAAACUUUUCUUCAAAAUUUUCUGCUUGUUCUCCCCACAACACCAUGUUGAUCUCUAUUCCAGGACCGUUUACAAAUCUAAAUCAUGAAAAUAAUUGAUAGACUGUUUAGUAUUUUAAAUAUCUCAAUAUCAAAUAAAUCUUAUACUCAAUCUGUCUAAAAACAUACCGUUCCAUUAGAAGGGUUAGUACAAGCCUCCUAACAACAACUUGACCCUCAAUUCGACCAUCCGUCUUGUUCACAUGUUUCACAUAAGCAAUGAUAUCUACAAUUCGAAUAUUAAUUAAUUAGAUUUCUAUAACUAUCAAAUGAAGUAAUGGGUACAUAAUUUUAAAACAAUACGUACCAUAUAGUCUACACACCAAAUUGUCUGACCUUGAUAAAUACCCAUAAUCCACAAAGAGAAAUUUCUCCCUAGGUAUUAUUUGUACUCCAGAUGCUAAAGGCGAUAUCCUUGUUCACUCAGUUAGCACAAUCAUGAACUGAUUAUUAGUAAUCUUAUAACUCAUAUCAUUAUGACGUACAUUGAAAGUAAACAUCUCAAUGAGACUGCCUUCAAACAAGUGAUCACCAUAAACACGUAGAAUAGAGGAAUGAACUGAAGCUUGAAUUAUAUUUUCCUGUUUGUAAUACAAUAAUUAAAAAUCUAUUUUUAUAUUAUGAUAAACAAACCAACACAUAGCAAUAUGAUAACUUUAAUAAUGUUAACCUGAGCAUCUACUAAAAGAAGAUUGUGUCCCCAGAAACCGUUUUUUUAUCACCGUAUAUGGAUUCCCACUUUCUAAUAAGACGUGCUAUAGUACGACGGCAGGAGCGCUUUGUGGUGAGUUUGUCGAAAGUUAAGUAGUUCAUGAUGAUACCAACCAAUCAAGAUUCGUUCUACAGAUGAAAACGAAUUCAAUAAUAUGAAAACAAACUAACAAAGAAUCAAUUCAAAAUUUUACGCAGAAACAUAACAUAUCUUACAGCAAUAAGCGACUGAUUGCAAUGUGGGAUUAUCAAAUACGAAUAGAGACCUAAGUCUUUAAAUAGCUAGCCUAUGACAUUUUUUUUAAAGAGAUUAAUAUAAGUAAAUUUAACAAAUUUUGUGAACCAAUAUACAGUAACUAAAUUAUUUUAGAUUUUUUAAGAUGAGAUAAUAGAAGGUAAUAUCACAAUAUGAGAUUUGUACAUAUUCUAAUUAUUUUUCUUAAUAUUUAUAAUAAUUACUUAAUAAUAGAAAUUAUGUAAUUGGUUAUUUUAAUUUUGUCAAAUUUUAAUUUUUGGCAAAUAUACUAACGAUAAACGUAUAUUUUCGAUUUCAUAAAUAUGAUUCGAUAAACAAAAUAAGCAUAGACUUAAUAUAAAGUUGAUAAUGAAGUAUUAAAAGACGAAAGAAAUACGAAUAUGUUCAUAAUGAUAUAAUAUAAAAAACAUCACUACAAGAACAUUAGUUUUUUCCCCUCAUCUCGAAAUCCAUCUUCUUUGUUGAUGACAAAGCUGCUUCAUCAUCAUCAGUUCCUAGAUUAAUAACCACUUUUGAUUUUUCUUCUUUUUUCCAAAACCUGUAAACAAAAAUAGCUUUUUUUAUAAUAACAAAUAAUAAAUAAUAAUAAGUUUUUACAUUACUAUAAUUACCUUUGAGCAAAAGUUAUGGCUCGUGGGAAUCUAGGAUUUAGCUCGAACCUAGAUACUCCUCCCUUAGACAUUAGAUAGAUACGACCUACAAAAUAAAUUUAAUCAUAUAUGAUAAGAACUUAUAUAAUUACGAUUAUUAAUUACUCUUAAACAUUAUGUUAGAAUAAAAGCAAACCUUUUUCAUUUUUAACAGACCAGUCCGAUAGAAAACAUGUCAGUGGUAAUUGUUCAUCAGUCCAGAACUUGUCAUUGAAUUCGAUAGCAAUCUGUCCUAACGCGGUACAAUCCAAGAACAAACCACUAUGCAACAAAAACAAAGCAUCGUUAUUUUUGCAUAUUUCUACAUUCAGAUUAUAAGAAAAAAAAACGUACUUGUGAUCUUUAAUUGUAAAGGUGAGACUUGCUGUUUUUUUUUCCUGUCCGCUUGAUAUACUUGUUAUCGUCUUUUACAGUUAUCAGCUCGCCAAUAGAAAUGACAACUCCCAAAAUGUCUUUAAUUUUUUAAAAUAAAAACAAUGUAUUAGUAUACAAAAGUUAAAUAUAUAAGACAUAAAUAAUAAAAACGUAAUGAAAGAUAAAAUAUACCAAUGGGUUGAUCAGGUUCCGUUUUCUGGCCAAGUAUGUCAGCAAAAGUGUAUGACCCUACCGAAUCAUCUUCUGAAAUUGGAUUUGUAUCGACGAUAACGGUGUUCAUACAUAUCUUGAUACUAAUGCCAAUUAGAGUGUUUGGUUCUUCGAGUGGAUCAUCGAAUACGAUAAAUUCUGAGAUACUUUUAUGGUCUCCUUCUUCGAUUGCCUUCUCAUAAUGUUUACAUAGAUCUUCAUUAUAUACAUAGGCUUGAAUUCGUUCACCCUUUGUAUAGAAAAUGGUUAAAGCGGUAGAAAAUAUUAUCUAUAAAACUGAACUUAAUGUAAAGUAUGUUAUAGUUUUAAAAUAUGAAAUACCAACCUCUUCAUCCAUCAACAGAAAUUGCAAAGAAUCUACUCCCGGUCCAGACUUCUCAACCCAUUUUUUUAAUACCUUAACUCUAAUACGCCAAUUGGUUUUAUCAUCAUGUAGAUCAGAAAUGAGAUUGUACGAAUCCAUUACCUGUAAUCAGACUAUGAGAAUUUUAUACUUCGAAGUAACUUAUCUAAAAAUCAAGAUCAAGAUAUAUAAAUAUACCAAUGUUAGACGUUAAGACAUAAUAUUAAAUUCGCUCGAUAGCCACUACGAAAACAACACCAACCUCAGAAUCACGAUUUAAUGUUUUAAAAUUUCCCUAUAUUUUAUAUCUUUACAAUCGUGAGAACCGAUUUCAGUAUAUACAUUUGAAUAACAAAAACAACAAAAAAACUUAAGUAGAGAUAUUCUGGAUAUCAUAAUCGGGAGGAAAUCCUAAAAAUAUCGUCACAAUCAUAUAAAAUCUAAAUUAAAAUAGAAAUAAAAGGUAAAUUUCUACAACACAGGCAAACAAAUCAACUAUUUUACAAUCCGAGGAGAAAAAAUCGCAUACCUUGAGCACAAGAUGCCAGUAAUUGCGAGAUAGAAAGCUCUGUUUGUUGCUUUUUUUUAGUCUGAAAUCGCCGUGUAUUAACAAACUUAGGAAAUAACGAAAAUAAUAUAAUAAACUAAGAUAUCAUAAUAAAUAUGGAAAUAUUAUAAUCAUUAAAUUAUAUACAUUGGCCCAUAACUUUGGGCUUUACCCAUGUGCUAAAAGGUUUAGAUUAAGUUGGCUUUGGUAAAAGAAUAAUCAAUCGUUCAAGGUGUAGGUAAGACAGAAAUAGAACACUAUGAUAUCACGUCCAUAAAACAUCUAUAAUCGAUUCCAUAGAAUAGAUAGUUGAACUAAAGGAAGCAUUACAAAUUAAGAAGAAAAUUCUAGAAACAUACAAAACCAUAAUGCCGAGAUAAAAGUUUGAUGAAUGAAUAUCCUAAAAGAUAACUAAAAAAUAAUUAUCAUUAUAACAUAUAAUAAAUGCUCAAUAGUUGGCAUAUAGAAAAAUCAAGUGCUUGGUGCAGUUCCAAACAUGCACAGGAUUCACAAAGGCCUUUCCAGCGAGAAGAAACUUAUACAAAUCACGCAAAACAUAGGAAGAGGUCCACUCACUCGCUGCAUGAAAAUCAGCAAUAUACUGAUCAUCAUCUUCAGAAACAAUUCCUAUAGCAUAGCAAACACCUUUAAAUGUUGAAUAUCGAACAUUGUUCACAGUCCUUAGAUCCUCAAAACAACAUGCUCCUCUCCUCACCUUCAACAAAAGUCUUAAAUAGUAAAGAUCACCAGAUGUUAAGGGACAACUCUCCAACAGAAACACUUGUGAAAUUCGAGAUAAACGCCGUCUCCAACAUGUUCGCUCAAUAUCCCAAGCCCACUUUGAAGCAAAUUGUGGAUACGUCAACUCCCGUGCUUCAGGAUGAAGACAAUUACAUUCCAUCCAAGCUUCCAAUUUGCUCUUUUUUCAGAGCUAGACGUUCCAUCAUCUUCCGAUGAUACACACGGCGGAGAUGGAAGGUGAACAGGUAGGCAUCCAACACCUAUAGAGGUUAAGCAUAAAUAUUUCAAUAUUUUGGAUGAUAAUCAAAACAUAUAAACUUAUGCUAAGUUAUUGCUAUGUGGUUUUGGUGAUAUCAAACACAUCAUUAUAAUGAAUAAUAAUCAAAACACAUUACCUCUUAGAGACAUAUUCCAGUAAGUGUAUAUAACGUAACACCGAAAAAGAGAGUCCUGAAAAUAUUUUAAAAAAUAUGUAUGCAAACAUUAUGAGAAACAAAACUACAUAUAUAUAAUACUAAAAUAGACAAAACUAAAGCAUAUAAUACUAAAGUACAUAAUACGAAAGCACUCUAAAAAAGACAUCUAACAGUCAAAGAAAUACGAAUAUAAUAAAAUAUUGAAACCCCAAAGCCAAAGAAUUAUGAUACAAAUUAAGAUAAUGACAAGAUGAUGAUCUUCUUAACUUAACAUGGAUUUAUUAUAAACCAAAUGAUAGUAAAUCAAACAGGGUCAAUAAAAAACGUAUAGAAUGCGUUUAAAAACAAUUACACGAAACCUAGAAUCUGGAUAUAAGGAAGAAUGCGUUUACAACUAUAAUAUUCUCUUCACAAGAACAGAGUCAGAAGACUACAAUAUAAAAACAGUAACAACAUAAAAACACACAAAAAUAAUAAAUUAUGAAAACGACGCAAAGAAUGAAGGAAUUGCAUAUUCGAAAGUUUAACCUAGUUUUUUUUUCUCAAGCAAUAUAAAAAAACGAAUAUAGGGGACAUAUUUAUAUAGUUUUUCAAUAAAAGGGUUUCCACUGCUAGAGUUUCGGUUAGACUGAAUAAUUGUUUUCCUAUUUAGGUGAAAUUUCCAUUUUUUAUAUACGUAAAUUAAACAUUUUUAAAAAUUAUUUCCGGAUUGAUCUUUGUAAUUACCUUAAAACAAUAUGAACAGUCUAUUGCUUACAAGGAUCAUCUAGAAUAUAAUUUGUAUUAAAAAUAUCAAUUACUCUAUUUACAAAGCAACAGUAAGAUCAUAGAAUAAAUAGAACAUAGAAUCAAUUAAAAUUAAUCAAAUAAUAUCAUAUCGUCUGUUUCUUUUAAAAAAUGUUUAAUUUGUAAGCACACAAAGCAUCUUUGCAGAUCUAUUGCUAUGUGGAUGAGACAAGUCGGUUUUAUCUUUUAAAAAAAUAAUUGUAAACAAUACUUGUAUGGAUAAUGGUGUGAAUAUGUAGACCAAUUCAUGAAUAUAUAGAACGAAUAUGAUGAGCACGGGAUCCACAUUACAUUAAAAAUAUUCGAUAAUACACAAAAACACAUAUAUAAAAGACUCAAAAUAUGAUAUUAAUCUAAUUCAUAUUAUAUAGCCAAAACAGAGAAGAACAUUCAUAAGAAAAUUCAAAAACAAUCAUUACAAAUCUUGUAGAAAAUUGAAAUUUAUAAUUGAUUUAGGAAACCAUAAUAGCGAAUAUAAGGUCGUGACGAAUAACAUGAAAGGCAAAUCAAAACAUAUAAAAAACUAACGAAUCCAUAACACCAAAUAAAAGGUUCUGUUGAAUAUAUUAAAAAGAUAUCUAAAACAUUAUCAGAAACAGAACAUAUAAUGGAUAUUCAAGAAUCGGCAGAGGGAAAGAUCAAGUGCUUGACGCACCAAACAUGCGCAGGAUUCGCUAAUGCCUUUGCCCUGAGAAGAAUCCUAAACAACACACGCAAAGCAUGCGAAGAGGACCAUUUACUCGCUUCAUAAAAUCCAGCAAUAAACUCAUCAUCGUCUUCGGAUACCAAUCCUAUAGCGUAGCAAGCAUCUUUGAAUGUUGAAUAUUGAACACCGUUGACGGUCCUAAGAUCAGAAAAACAAAACGCUCCUCUUCUCACCUUCAACAAAAGUCUUAAGUAAUAAAGUUCACCAGAUGACAAUGGACAACACUGCAAGAGAAAGACUUGCGAAGUUUGAGAUAAACGGCGCCUCCAUUUUGAUUGUUUACGAUCCCAAACCCAUUCCAAAGGGAAUUGAGGAUACGUCAAUUCCCUUGCUUCAGGAUGAAGACGAUUACAUUCCAUCCAAGCUUCCAAUUUACUCUUCUUGCCCAAACCAGACGUUUCCUCAUCAUCUGAGAACGAUUGCGAUGGUGGAGGGAGGUGCACAGGUAGGAAUGGAACCCCUAAUCAAUGUUAAUAAUAUACAUAUCAAAUAUAAACGAUUAAACGUUUUAACCAAUAAAAAUAUGAAAGCUUAAGAUAGGUGCUGAUAAAUAACAAAUACCAGUCGAAGACAUAUUCCAAGAAAAUUAUAUAUGAUGAAACACUGACUAAGAGUAUCCUGAAAAGCACAGAGUCAAGAGAUCAGCAAGUACAAUAUGGCAAAUAAAAAAAAAAAUUACAUACAAAAAUUUUAAUAUAAGAAUCAACCAACAAAGAAAUACAAGAAACACUAAAAGAAGUACAUAUAAAGAAAAUACAUUAAAUUAUAGCUAAAAAGAUUAUAAUAGAAACGAUUAGGUUAAGAGAUAAGUAAGUAUACCUACAGGAGUUCUGAACGUGUAUAAGCAGGCCGACAUAAAAUACAAAAAAACAAUAGUGAUCGGACAAAAAGCAACAUAGUGUUAGUUUUAAGCUAGCGACUGUAAACCAAUAAGGGUUAUACGAAACAACAUAAAAAGAUCGUAUAAAUACACUUACACGAUACGAUGAAUGAAAAGGAUGAAUGUGUGAUUGGGUACACAAUUUCAAUAUCCUCUCAAGCGGAUGAACCUACAAUAUGAAACCAACAAAACCAAAAGAAAAACGAAAAGCAAACAUAAAAAAAUUUGAAAUCAAAAACCAAAACGAAAUAAUAUAAAACAUGCGGCUAACAGAACUUACACGAGAUAAUCGAAGAGGAAGAAUCAAAUAGCACUUCAAUAUCAUUCUCAAAAGAUCAGCGUGCGCUCUUAGAUCCAGUAUCGUCCUCAAAAGAUCUGCCUACAAUAGAAAGCAACAACAACAUCAAAAUUAAUCCAGAGAAAAAAGCAAGCAAUAUAUAAACACAAAUCAAAACGCCGCAGAACACAAACAAAUCAAAGAAAAUAUUGCAUAUGAGAAAGUUUAACCAAGGGUUCACUACAAGAAAACAAUCGUUUUCCAACGGUCCAUUACGACGGGUUUCAAACCGUCGCAAGCUUACAACGAUUUUACGACGAUCUUACGUCUAAUUUUAAAACCGUCGUAACACCGUCGUAUAAAAAAAUCGUCGUAAACUCGACGUACAAUUUACGACGAAUUACGACGAUUAUACAUCGAUAACGAGAGAUUUGCUAGAGAAUGUAAAAUCAUCGUAAAUUCGAUGUAAAAUUACGACGAAUAUACGACAACUUCAUUUCGAUGUACAUAUUACGACGAUUUUAUGUCAAAAAGAAGUUAGGUGGAAAACAUUUAAAACAUGUUUACCUAACAAUUGCAGGGGAAAGAUUUUAUCGCAUAAUCGUCGUAAACUCGUCGUAAUAUUAUUUUUGAAUGUAAAUUCGUCGUAAAAUAUCGUCGUAAAAGCGUUGUAAAGCCCGAAAUUUUCCUAUAAAUAAAUCUUCAUUCCUUCUUUCAAUCACAAGACAUCAUCAUUCAAACAUAAGAGCACAAAGAGCCUAGCUUUCUUGGUUUGAUGAGUGAGUAACAACUUCUGAGUUGACUUGGAAGGUCUCUUAAAUUUUAGUAUAGUGUUGUAAAUCCUUAUAUAUUGGGUUGUCCAUUGCUGGAAACCCGAAUUCAGAGUUAUAUUACUUUGAAAAAGAAUUAAUAAUAUUAUAAGGGUAAUUUACUCCAUUCACGUGGCUAGACGUGACACAAUUGUCUAACCAAUAAAAAGAGAUAGUAUUUUGAGUUUAUUUUCAAGAUGUCUAUAUACGAGCUAAGAAGUUGGAUGUAUAUGCGUAAAGAUUCAGAUGGGGCAUUGACAGAAGAGUUCAAGAACGGGUUAGAAAUAUUUAUGUUUCAGGCUACAAAUAUGGAGAGAACGAAAGAUAGUGGAAAGAUGUUUUGUCCUUGUUUGAAAUGCAAGAAUACGAGGUAUACACUAACCAAAACCGUGUGGACGCAUUUAUUAAAUAGAGGGUUUAUGCCGCAAUAUUUUGUUUGGUAUCUACAUGGAGAAGGAUAUGGUAGUAAUACUCAUGCGAAUGCUGGUAGUAGUAGUAAUUAUCAAAGUCAUGUUGAUAUUGAUGAAUCGAAUUAUGGUCAUCAGCCUAAUCAGUAUCAAUAUGAUCAAAAUGUAGAUCAUGAUAGGAUGCACGAAAUGGUGACUGAUGCAUUUCAUGAAACGCAUACUGGUAAUGCUGUUGAGGAACCUAAUGUAGAUGCCAAACGAUUUUAUGAUUUGUUAGACAAUGCUAAUCAGCCAAUCUACGAAGGAUGUAGAGAAGGCUUGUCUAAAUUAUCGUUGGCAUCUAGGAUGAUGUCAAUUAAAACAGAUCAUAACCUGGCUGAGGUUUGCAUGGAUGAUUGGGCUGAUCUUCUGAAGGAGUAUCUACCGGAGGAUAACUUGGCAGCGGGAACAUACUAUGAAAUUCAGAAGUUGAUUUUUAGUCUUGGUCUACCUUCUGAGAUGAUAGAUGUAUGUGUUGACAACUGUAUGAUUUUUUGGAAAGAUGAUAAUCAGCUGGAGGAAUGUCGAUUUUGCAAAAACCAAGAUACAUGCCGCAAACUGGUGGGCGUAAAAGGAUACCGUACCAACAUAUGUGGUAUCUCCCUAUAACUGAUAGGUUAAAACGGCUUUAUCAAUCUGAAAGGACAGCUGCAUCAAUGAGAUGGCAUGCAGAACAUACACAAGCAGAUGGAGAAGUUGUUCAUCCAUCAGAUGCAAAGGCAUGGAAACACUUCAAUAUGGUAUACCCAGAUUUUGCUAAGUUCAAACAGAAUGUCUAUCUUGGUCUGUGCACUCAUGGUUUUAGUCCAUUUGGUAUGUCUGGUAGACAAUAUUCAUUAUGGCCAGUAAUCCUAACUCCUUAUAACCUUCUUCCAGAUUUGUGCAUGCAAAGGGAAUUUCUUUUCCUAAGUAUUUUGGUUCCAGGUCCAAAUCAUCCGAAGCGAGCUCUCGAUGUAUUUAUGCAGCCACUCAUACAUGAGUUGAAUCAGUUAUGGUAUACUGGCGUUCGUACAUAUGACUGUUCUACGAGGAAAAAUUUUACUAUGCGGGCUGUGCUUAUGUGGACAAUAAGCGAUUUCCCCGUUUAUGGUAUGCUAUCAGGAUGGACUACACAUGGGAGGCUAUCUUGUCCUUAUUGUCUUCAUCGAACUGAUGCGUUUCAGCUAAAACAUGGUAGAAAAACUUGUUGGUUUGAUUGUCACCGGAGGUUUUUACCGGAUAACCAUCCAUAUCGGUGGAACAAGAGGUUAUUUAUGAAGAACAAAAGUGUACAUGUCCCUCCACCCGUUAAUUUAACAGGAGCUGAUAUACAUGCGCAAAUCGAUCAUUGGAGGGCAGAGGAAACAGUAACGCGUGGGGGAAACUGGCACACUCCUGCCUGAAGGUUAUGGAGUUCAUCAUAAUUGGCACAAGAAAAGUAUCUUUUGGCAACUACCUUAUUGGAAAGAUCAUCUGCUCAGACACAAUCUUGAUGUCAUGCACAUUGAAAAAAACUUUUUUGAUAACAUCAUGCAUACAGUUAUGAACGUAGCGGGAAGAACAAAAGACAAUGGUAAGUCAAGAUUGGACUUGCCUGAUUUAUGCAACAGAAGUGAGUUGCAUCUACUGAGAAACGGAAAGCACCAGUUCCUGUAUUUCGGUUGAGUGCAGAUCAAAAGUCAGCAUUGUUCAGAUGAGUUUCUUCUGACGUUAAAUUUCCUGAUGGGUAUGUCUCUAAUCUUUCCAAAUCUGUUGAGAAGGGGGUAAAUUUUGAUGGGAUGAAAAUCCAUGACUGCCAUGUGUUUAUGCAACGUUUAAUGUCCAUUUGCAUUUGCUCAACUCUUGCCCAAAAACGUCCAUGAAGCUAUUGGAGGCAUUGGUGCUUUUUUUCGGGAUCUUAGUACAAGAACAUUAUCAGUUGAUGUAAUAUCACAACUGGCAUUGAAUAUUCCAAUCUUGUUGUGCAAUUUGGAAAAGAUCUUCCCACCAUCAUUUUUUGAUGUUAUGGAACAUCUUCCUGUUCAUCUCCCACACGAAGCAGAGCUCGGUGGACCCGUUCAGUACAGGUGGAUGUAUCCGUUCGAGCGUUUCAUGAAGCAUCUUAAAGGUAAAGCCAAAAACCUAUCUAAAGUGGAAGGCUCAAUUGUGGCGGAAAGCUUGACGCAAGAGACUUCACACUUCACUUCAUACUAUUUUGCACCGAAAGUACGAACACGCAAAAGAGCUACUCGUCGAUAUGAUGAUGGAGGAGUUGGCCAUACAUAUGCCGUUGAAGGUGUACCUGACAUAUUCUCGCCGAUCGGACGUCUUAGUGGAAAACUAAAAGAUGUUUGGUGGUCCAAUGAAAAAUAUUAUCACAGUGCACAUACGUAUAUCCUGUUAAAUUGUGAAGAGUUGUCAUCGUAUGAAAGGUACUUUUUAAUUAAUAAUAUCUUUAUAUGAGUUGUCAGUAUUAAUAACUAUUUGUUGUUUUUCUCAGCACAUUUGUUGAUGAGGUUAAAGAAUGCAUAUCUGGGGUUUCUGAAACUGAAAUCAAUGAUCGUAAAGAUCAACACUAUGCCCAGUGGUUAAAAGGACAAGUACGUAUAAAAUUAUAAUUAAAAGACUACUUUAAUUUGCUAUAUAUCCAAAUCAAGAAAUUAAAGCGGAAUUUUUUUCUUAUUAGGUGGACCCGAAUGAUCUGGAUGAAUUUCCAACAUGGUUCCAUGAGUUAUUACUAGGUCCGAUGGCAAAAAUAACUACAGCCUCAAUGUAUUUACUCGGGGCUAUGUUUUUCACACAUACCGUCACGGUGCAAAGCGGGCGACAACUAACUAUGGAGUUUGUGUGAGGGGUGAAAUCGAUUUUUAUGGAGUUCUGCAAGAAAUAAUUGAAGUAGAGUAUCCUGGAUGGUUAAGGCUGAAAACUGUUCUCUUCAAAUGUGAUUGGAUUAAUCCAACUGUUGGAAGAGGGGUACGCCUAAACAAGUUUGGAGUUGUUGACGUGAACAAAUCACGACGGUACAACAGGUUUGAGCCAUUUAUAUUAGCUUCUCAACCAGAACAGGUAACGUUUCUGCCAUACCCUCGAGUUCGAUCAACAGGAAUUUCAUGGUUAGCUGUAGUUAAAGUGACUCCGAGGGGCAAGAUUGUAGGGGUUGAGGAUGUUCCACUUCAACAGGACACUUGCGUAGAUCUGUCUGAACCAGAUGUUGAUGAGGAGAUUUUCUUAAUAGACCCUCGGAACAGGCAAGUUGAAGAUCUUCCCGAUGAUACAGAAGAAGAAGGUGAUGAUGAGUUUGCUGAAACCGAUGAUGACGAUUUAGCGGAAGAAGACGGUGAUGGUGAUGAAGUAAUAGAGGGAGAUAAAUGUUUGUUAUUAUGUAAUUUGUAACUUUGUUUGUUUGAAUUUUUUAAAAACCCUAAAAUUCGAUUUUACGACGGUUUUAUGACGGUUUUUCUAAACCCUAAACCCUAAGUCUAGGUUUUAAGCCCUGAAUGAAUAGGGUUUCAACAUUACGACGUCUUUACGACGAACCAUCGUAAUAUCGUCGUAAAGUUACGAAGGUUUUACGACGAGUACACUAUUUCAUCGUAAAAUCGUCGUAAUGUUGAAAUCCAAGAAUUUGAAUCUUUUAUAUCUUAUUGGUUGUAAGGUAUUUCACAAAUGUUUUUGAUUGGUUAUCUUAUUUUAUAUGAAAUGCUAUCAAUCUGAUCAAAAUCAAAAAUUUGAAAAAAAACAUACAUAUUUACAAGUUCAUGCAUGUUUUCGUAAAUGUUAAGUGAAAGGUUAUAUAUUAGAUUACGGAAUUUCAAUUUUUACUAUCUCAUGUCAUAAAUCCAUCAUGCAUGCAAAGUUGUAAACCUUUUGUUAUAUGUUAGGAUACAAUAACCUUUGCAUUGUUCUUUAUGCAAUAUCCCAUUUAUAAGAUUUAGGGUUUACUCACUUUUUUAAAAAACUUCGUAAAACCGUCGUAAUAUAAUCGUAAAUUUACGACGGUUUUACGUCUAAGUUCUCUAAAACCGUCGUAAAACCGUCGUAACGUUUGCACCGGAUAGGCUCUCGAUCCGAGGUACGAGGUUAUAAAUGUUUAGAUGUUACGACGAUUUUACGACGGUUUUGGGUAAAAUUGUCGUAAAACCGUUGUAACGGUCAAACGCUCCCCUCACGACACGUGUCAUGUCAUGCAGUGGACCGACUGUUAUACAACCGAAUCGUCGUAAAAUCGUCGCAAAGUUACGACGAUUUUACGAUGAUCACAAAAUCUAUAUAAGGGACGCGCGUCGCGCAUUCCUCUCUUCUCCCCUCUCUCUCUACAAUACUUUCUCUCUCUAAACCCUAAACCACUCCCUCUCUCCCUACUCUCCCAGCCAAUACUUGUAAGUUUUUUUUUAAAUUAAUUUCAUUACAUAUUCUUUUAGAUUUAGGUUCGGAAUUUAGAUUUAGGUUCAGAAUUUAGAUUUAGGUUUCGGAAUUUAGAUAGGCCCGGAUUUUGUAAAUUUAAAUAAAUAUUUGAAAAAUUAGUAACAAAUUUUUUUAAAUUUUGUAGAUUCUGUCGAUAUGGCUCCUCGGGCUAAGAGAUUUCACUACCGACAGCUGGUCGAUUCUGACGGUACGGCCCCGUCUACCUCGGCGACCGGAUCAGCCAUCCCGGAGUCCUCAGGAACACAACGGACGGUUUCCCAACCGGUCGUUGUACCGCAGCCGGCACCACCUCCACCACCACCAGCCGAACCAGCGGCUCCCGCACCGGCCGAUCCUGAGGCUGAUCCAAUCCCGCCUGUACCGUAUGCCCAGUUUACGGUACAGGAUCUUCUGGCACAGCCGGGUCGUAAGACCAUGAACAAACUCGACCCAGAUCGAGCCCCGAGCACAUUUUGGUACGUAAUUUUUUUCCAACAAUAUUUUUACAUUAAUUAAUAGUUAUUUUUAUAUAUUUGAAAUUAAUUUACAUUUCUUUUUCUAUUUGACUAGGUUUACGACCGACAAUGCUGUCGGUCGUAACGUUGCGGAUAUCAUCAAGGGGUUUUUCGUACAACCCCAUACCAGCUGGAAGAAGCUGGAUCAGGCCACACUUGACACUUGGUUCAAGUGUUUUGCGGUAAAUAAUUUACAAUUUCGUUUAAUUUUAAUUUUAAAUUUUAAAUUUUUACAAUAAUUACUAACUUCUUUUUUUCCUAGCAAAACUGGCAUUGGGAAACAUCCGCACACGGACGUGUGGAGACGGCCUUCAAGGAGAAGGUCAAAUUUCGCCUCAACAACACCGUUUCCGACUGGAAACGGAAGUGGGAGGUUGACGGCGACAAGGCCAAGCCGGCGCCUAUGGCCAAUACCGUCUGGCGGGGCCUUGUCCAGUACUGGUUAGAUCCGCACAACCAGACUACGGCCGCCAAUUGUUCUGUAUCUAGGUAAGUAGUUAAUUCCAAUAAUAUUUACAUUAUCUGUUUUCAUUAAUUCUUAUAAUAGAUUCUAAUGAAAAUAUUUUUCAGGAACGCUACUGACGAUGCGGGAAAUCGGAAGAACGUUCUGCACACUUCCGGCCAGAUUCCUUUUGCCGGAAGACGGCUUAUGAUGGUAAGUAAAUUAAAAUUACUAAUUUUUUUGUUUUCAAAUAAUUAACCCUUAUUUGUCGAUACUAAUUUUUUCAUUUUGAUUUUGUAGGUCGAAGAUAACGGAGGAGAACUUCCUCCGAUGACAAAGGUUUUCGCCGAGACGCAUAAGAAGCGGAACGGCGAAUUCACGGAUCCUCGGGCAGAGGAGAUCUACAACGCCGCUUGUGCGGCGAUCGAGGAGUGACAGACGCAGCUGACUCAGCAGGCGCGUCAAACGUCUCCCGGAGGUAGCUCGGUCCAAUCGACCCCGGCGCUGACGGUGGCGGAGAUGGACCAGAUCUUCGAAGAAGUAAAUUUAAUUACUAUAUUUAAUUAAUGUAACUUUAUUUUUAAAUUGAAUUUCUAACCAUAAUGUUUUUAAAUAUUUGUAGGUUGCCCCAAAGAAAAAAGGGCGGGUAUUAGGGAUGGGAUUCAUCCGUGAUACCCCGAGAGCUACGGUGACUGGUCACGUCCGGGUCCCGUAUCCGGUUAUCCGCCAGGAGAUCGAUCAGAUGUGGACCCGUUACGAGACGAGGAUCGACCAGCUCUACGGUCUCUUCGAGAUCAUGGGAGCCGACAACCCGGUGCUCAUGGCGCAGUUGGACAAGCUGCGGGCAGAUGGGGUUGUCGGAUCGUCUGCCGCCGGGUCAUCCACUAGGACGCUACCGCCGGUGCAGACGGACGAGGAGAUGUUCCGAUCUCUCGGGGUUGAGCCUCCUAGAGCCGGAGAUCAGGCGCCGGCGGAAGCAUCAAACCGAAUACCCGGCAAGGAACACGUCCAGGACGAUGGGGAGGAGGCCGGUGACGGGAUCGACGAUAUAGAUUUAGAUUUAGAUUUAGAGCUGUAGGUUUUUAUGUAAAUUACAAUUAAUUUUAAUUUGAAAUUUUAAUUUCAAAUUUUAAUAAAUUUUAAUAAAUUUUAAAUUGUAAAUUAUUUUUUUAAUUUAAAUUUUAAUUCGAAUUAAUUUUUUUUUAAUUUUCAAUUAUAUUAAACGUCGUAUAAUCGUCGUAAUAUCUUUAUUAAACCCGUCGUAUAUUCGUCGUAAAUAUUACGACGAAUUUACGACCAAAAUGUACGACGACAAAUACGACGAUUAUACGUCUGUGCUUUACGACGAUUUUACGACGAAAUAAUUAAAUACUUUACGAUUGAUUUACGACGAUUUUUGCGUCGUACAUUUUACGACGAUCUUACGUCGACCAUUAACGACCACUUAACGACGGUCCAGGCGAAGACCAAGUCGACGCAAUUCUAUGUAAAAUCGUCGUAAACUGUACGACGUAUUUACGACGAUUUUGUUUCCCUCGAUGUUACGACGAAACGAAACCGUCGUAUAUUAUACGACGAUUUUACGACGAUUUGUCUAUUACGACGAUGACUUUACGACGAUUUCGAAAUCGUCGGUAGGUCGUCGUAAUAGCCUAUUACGACGAAAUAACGACCAUUUUGGCCGUUGUAAAAUGAUGUUUUUCUUGUAGUGGUUUAUCUAAAACGAUAUGAAAGAAUGAACGUAUGAGACUUAUUUAUAUAAGUGUUUAAGAUUAGGGUUUAGGUCGGUAGUAUUUCGUUUAGGUCACGUAAAAUAUGGGCCGUGAAUAUUUGUAUGGGCUUACGAUAUUCAUUUCCUCGAGUUUGUUUAAAAAAAUUUAGUUAAUAUAUCCAAAAUUAAUUAUUCUCAUUAAGGGGUAAGAGGUAAUUAACCAGCUGAAACUCAAUGAGAGACAUCCAUUGCUUAUUCUGAACCCUCUUUUAAUAUAUAUGAUAAAGUUAGAGCCAAAAUUGUUUUUUUUUUUCUUAACUCCGAUGGACUGAUGAACCGUUUAUUUGAGGUUGCCGUAGUUAUAGUAAAGAAAAGGAAAAGAACCAAAACUAAUUUUAUUAAAAAUAAUCAAUUUGAUAAAAUAGAGAUUAAACUCAGGAAAUAACAAAUAGUACAUGCAUAGAAUUUAGAACUGUAAGCUAAAUCAUAGACUUUGGUGGGAUCAUAUACCAAGGGGUACCAUCCACACUCAUAAAACAAUAACUUGUCCGUCUCCAAGACUACUAGUGGUUUGAGUGCCCAUAUGGGAUCCACCCCAAACCAGGUAGUACUUUUAUAGAUCUAUGGAAUAAAUUUUGGUCCAUGUCUUCUGAUCUGAAUCGAGCGACCAUAUCACUAGGUUGGGCCACUUAUUUUCGGAGACGCAUAAACGAUCAUCCAGGUUGCACAUGGCGAUUUUUUCUAUAGAGUCGUGGACGAAAUGUGUUUUAGAGAUGAUUUGAAAAGUUUCAGCAUGAAGACCGAAAGAUAAAAUCUUUGUUUUCACCCGAGUCCCGAGCAGUGAACCAAUGAAGUGAUCCAUCUAAAUGUAUAGGAUAUUGGCGGUGAAGAAUCAGAUAAGGGGACGCAGGGACAACAUAUCUCCAAGCGUUUGUGGUAAAAUCAAAAACUUGGCAAGUAGGCCUAAGACAUCAGAAUUGUAUAACCAAACUGGCUUGUAUGUGUCAUUGAUUUUGUCUUUACCAAAUCCAGGAAAAGGUUCAGGGUUCUUGUAUUUUAAAGACACUAGCUGAUAGUUACAUGGAGGUAGUGUUCGAUGCCAUCGAGUGGUGGGAUCGAUGACGAUACUCGAUUCACGUGAAUCGUAGAGGUAUAUCAGACCGUCACAGCUACUAUUGCAAACGUUGUAAAACUUGUUCUCCCAAGGUGUAGGGAUCUUAACAGAAAGAGAUGGCCCUAGCACCAACGUUCUCAAAGCAUCAAUGUAAGGAUCAUUAACAAGACAAUCAUACACGUACACCAAAAGUGGUUCUGGAUCUCCUGAUUGUUUACGAUGGAGAAGAUGUCUCUUUUUGAAAGAAGCGGAUUGGAUAGUAGAUUUCCAAUGCUUCGACACAAAAUUGAACUUGAAGAGGGUUUUCACAUCAAGUCUCUCCAGAAUCUGCUCUAUCACAGAGUAUGGUAGCCAGUCUAUAUUGUUCUAUCAAUCUCUGUGAAUGAUGAAGAGAUUGGAAAAAAAAUGACUAAUUUAUAAGAAAUUAUCUUAGCAUUAUUCAACUAGGAAUGGAAAAAAAAAUUUGACUAAAAAAGGAAAUGCAAAUUUAUUUGUUAAUUAUGAAUACGAUAUCUAAAAUAUCAAAAAAAAGCGGAUAUAAAAAAAAGGUCAGUUGAAAAAAGGAAAUAAAAUCUCAUAGGUUACUUUUGAAUCGAAGGUUAAUUAUGAUUCAAGUAAUAUCUUAAAACCCUAGCUCUUCCUCUUUUGGGCUUUGACUUUACUUUGGGCUAUGAACCACCAUCAUUUUUGAUUUAAGGUAAUGAAUAAAACAGAACUAUUCGAUCGACUUUGGGUGGGUCGCAGGUAGAAAAAACAAUUGGGUCACUUUAUUAAGGCCCAGUAACAGAGCACAAAGCGAAAAGUUUAUAGACAAAAACGGCAUGACGUUCAACUGUCUACCGGCGAAAUUACACGCAGUCAAUCAAAACUUCUUGAAAUCACAUGAGAUAUCGAGUAACGAAGAUACCUAUCAACCAAAAAAAAAAAAAAAAUCGAGAAACGACGAUUAUAACCGAAAGUUAUAAGAGAAAGAAGAGUCACGACUUUUCAAGAAACUUGCAGAACGUCCUUGCUCUUAUCCUCUCGCUAGUCAGUCCCUAUAUAUACGCAAAGUCACUAAGGCCUAAGAAUCAACAAAGCAACAAAAGAGCAAAGCCAAGCAAAAGAGAAUUAAAACGCCAAAAAGAGUGUAACGAUGUCUAUAAUUCCGAGCUUUUUUGGAGGCCGAAGAACAAACGUGUUCGACCCGUUCUCGCUUGACGUAUGGGAUCCGUUCGAAGGAUCAGGUUUGGCAAACGCACCCGGUAGAGACGUGGCAGCGUUCACAAACGCUAAAGUGGACUGGAGGGAGACACCUGAGGCGCACGUGUUCAAGGCGGACUUGCCUGGGUUAAAGAAAGAAGAGGUGAAGGUGGAGGUUGAAGAUGGGAACGUACUUCAGAUAAGCGGAGAGAGAAGGAGCGAGAACGAAGAAAAGAGUGACAAGUGGCACCGUGUGGAGAGGU
This 74010-nucleotide long non-coding RNA is filed under the name Eutrema salsugineum. Its description in RNAcentral is "long non-coding RNA (ESAL_LNC000740)". Lineage: Eukaryota; Viridiplantae; Streptophyta; Magnoliopsida; Brassicales; Brassicaceae. The record is from RNAcentral.